UUUUUUUUUUUUUUUUUGUUUUUUUGGGGGGGGGGGGGGGGGUGGGGAGGGAGGCUUUUGUCCCUGCAAUCAAAAGAGACAGGCUACAUGGCCCAUAACAUAGCCCAAAACUGGAACAGAAAUAUAGCCCAUUGUUCCGUUCCAAUUUCUGAAUUUUCCUCAUCAAAACCUUAUUCUUUUUUCUUUAUUGAUUGUUUUCUACAACUUAUGGAAAUAACUAUGCCGUAAUUUCUUUUCACCUUCAAACGAAGAGACAAGAAUUUCAAGAGUAAGGUAUUACAAAGUCUAUAUGUAUGUUCAAUUGUCAAAAUGAAAAUGUUUUUACACAACCCAAUAAUGAAAUUACAGCACAUCUGACAUAUUUGUUCCUUUUUUCUUUCACUUUUUUUUUUCAAUUGAGCAUUUUGAUAUGGAUUUCUCUAUUAUCUCAUAGCAUUAAUGCAUUUGUUGUUGUUGAGCUGAAUUUUAUUUAAGUACGUGCUCAAAAAUUCCAAACAUAAAAUUUGGUUAGAAAACCACUAAGGUGCAAAGAAACUAAUAAUAGUUAAGACCACAACAUCUGGUAGAUAAAAUUGAUAAUAUGAAAUAGUAAGGUCGUUCCAUGUUAACUACAUAACAUAGUUUAGUUAUAUCUAAAAAGUUUUGACAAACAUAUGAAAAAAUCCAUGUCGCUUUCAUAUCUUAUUAAUACCACUUAAGCAAUAGCAAAAUUAAUUGAAAAUUUUUAAAAAAAAAGUAAGGGAUUAGAUGGUAAUCAGUAGAUUAGGUAGGUGAGAUGGGAGAUUGUAGCCAAUUUGAAUGCAACUACCAGUUCACAGAACCUAGAAUAAGAUAUUUUGGCUGAUUAAAUCCUUGGAUUAGGGUCUAUACCUCAAAUGGUUAGCAACUUACCAAUUUGUAUUAGACUUCCAGAUCUCAUUCAGUUUGUGUUCAACUAACUUGUUUUUAUGUACUAUUUUUAAAUGAAAUACAGGUCAAAUUGGACACACACUCAUUUUUGGUGAGUUCUGAUCAAAUUAAUAGAGUCAAGUGAUGUUUAUAAUUUGAAGUGAUUUUCAUCAUAUCGUUUUCAAAAUAUAGAUUCUUUGAGCUACUGAUGGGCUUUUGAUAUAAGUACAAGUUUAAUUCCGAAAUAUACCAUUUUUGACUGCAAGUAUACAGGUUAAAUUAGUAGUUUAUGGCAAAUAUCGGGUCAAUCCCAUGAGAAAGAUUGGACAAAUACCGGCACUACUAAAACUUCUCUAUUAUUUAGACGAUCAAUGAAUUAAAAGAGAUAAAACUAUAUUAAAACUUAUGCAAGAUAAAAACAAAUGAAAGCUCCUUAGAUUAUGGUAUUUCUAACCAUUCAUGCAAAUGCUAUUUUUGGAUCAUUGAUUACUACUAUCUUGACUAGUUAUGGCGUAAUUUUCUUAUGCAUGUGAAACCUACUCUCGUAAUGAAUCAACUAUACUUAUAACUAAUCCAUGCCUACUCUCGUGGUUAUUAAAUUAGCUACAAGUUCAUUUCUUCUAUGAAAUUACAUGAAAUGAAUCACUAAAGCCACAUAGACGCACUUCUACUCUCGUGAGUGUACUCCCUAGGUUUAGCACUUUUUGAACUAGUGUUAAAUCUCAAUUUUCAUUGAAGAAACAACACAUUUAGUAAUCACAAUUAAUGGUACCAAGUUAAUCAUGAUUUAAAGAGCUAAAGUGCUAAAUAACUUGCUCAAAAUAAUCGCAUCAAAUAGCCAAAUAAUAAACACUAACAAUCAAAGAAAGUUUAACCAAACCCAAGGCAUUAACUUUAGAUACACAUAGUGAAUAUAAACUUUAAUGUAUACCAGACGCCCUGGUUAUUUCGACUAUUGGAAUUAAUGAUGCUUACAUGCAAAAUUACAAACCUUAUUGGACAGUGAUUCCAUGAAAUCUUUAGGUGAAACUAGAAAUCAGGUAAUUGAUAGUUGGAAUUGUAGACUUUUUAUACAUAAUAUGUUUUCUUUUUAUCUUUUUUUUUUUUUUAGAAAAAUAUAGUAAUUGGGAAAUCAAUGUCCGAUUGCUGACGUCUUCACAAUUUUCAAAGUCCGAUCACCUUUGCAUGAGCUCAUUGUCCAUAUUUACAUUUUUUACUUUAAUUUCCAUUUUUUUAAAUUUUUUAUUGAUUUGUUGUUUUUUCUUUUUUUUCAUAUUCUGUUUUGGGUUUUUCUCCUUUUUUUUUAUUUUGGUAUAUUGUGUUAUGUUACUUGAUGAUGACGAUGAUUUAGUAAAGUUCAAAAAUUUCUAUUUGAAUUGGAUAUAUAUUUUUUAAUUUUCUAAUGACGAUUAUACAUAUUGUCAAUCUUUGGUGUUAUUCAAUUGGAUACCUCAAAUUUUAAUAGAUAAAUUCAAAAGAAUUAAUCUUUUUUUGUUAUAACAAUUUUAGGUCCCAUUUUAAGAUAGAAAAGAAUUAUUUCUUUUUUUUGUGACAAUUUUAUGUCCCAUUUAACCAUAUAAGAGAGGAAAUUUUUAAUGAAAAUAAAAUUGGGAUGUUAAAUUUAGACAAAAACAUAAUAAGAGUGAAGUCUGAUGAUUCUCUUAGUGAAGGAUGUCUGUACAAGAUAGGUAUUUUGGAGAUAUUAGUCUAUGUCUGCUUAUCUGUGUGAGAUCAAUGGAGGCUGUUUUGUUAAUAUUAUUCUUGUUUUGUGCGGCAGCAAUAUACACGGUAAAAAAAAUUAUAGGUUCAUUUUCCACCUUAGAUUGUUAGUUAUAAUGCUCAUGCAAUUAGCUACUAGAUUAGUACUAUCAAUGAUCUAUCUGCCUACAAAUGGCCAUAUGAUAUGGAUUUCUCUAUUAUCUCACUGCAUUUAUGCAUUCAUUGUUAUUAAACUGAAUUUUAUAUUAGUACUUGCUCAAAAAUUAUAAAGAUAAAAUUCAGUUAGAAUACCACUAAGGAGCAAAGAAGCUAAUAAUAGUUAAAUCCUCAACAUCUAGCAUAUAAAAUUGAUAACAAGAAAUUUGUAACUUCAUUCCAAGUUAAUUGACAGGUUGUCGAAGCCUGUGCAAUAACAAAAACCUGUUCAAUUAAAGUAAAUUUCUGUAGAUAGCGGUGAGCAGGGUCGAAUCCACAGGGAUUGGGAGUAAUUGUUUCUUUUCAAAUUCACAGUGACAAGGGAGGUAUUUUUAUAUCAGGGGUGACAAUCUAAGCAAUUCAACUAAAAGUAAAAUAAUAAAAAUAAAAUAGCCAACUAAAAAUUAAAUAACAAUUUACUAAAAUCUAAUGAGUAAUAAUUAAGGAUCUAACCAAGAAAUAACUUCAGCAAUGGUGCACCCAAUUGAUCAUCGAAACAAAGGCAAUUUCAAUUAUUUAUCAAUAAAUAGGUUAUAACUACCAAACAAGCGAUGACAGUCAACCCCUCCUUAUUGUGUCGGUGAUUAAGGUACGCCCGUUAAUCACUGCUCUAAUUGAAAAAUAAUCCUAAGUACGCCCGUAAGAUUUAAUUUUCCAAUUGCCUUACAUAUUAGAGAAGCGCUAUUCUAACCAAAUAACGCACUACCAGGAUUAUUUUAGAUUAGCCCGCGUAUUCCCCUGACACAAAUCUAAUCAUGCCAGUUGUCACUAUUUUGAGGUAAUUAAACAAUUACGAAUUUAACACCUCAAUUGAUAAUAGAUUAUUAAAUUAACUAAUUAUCCGGAUCCAAGACAAUCAAUUAAUUAAACAACCAUAAGCACUGCAACCAGGGAAUAUGCAAAUACCAAUAAAUAAAAGAAACAGAUUAAAAUUAAAUCGAUCUCACAAUUUUAGGCGACCCAAAGCAUCCGUUGUUUCUUAGCUAGAAAAGGAGAGUUAAUUCAUCUCUAUGGAGAAAAUCCCAUGCGACAAUUUAGCAGUAAUUGUCGAGGACAUUCUUCUUUAUAUGAUGAAGAAAUCCGAAUAAUUAAGAAUAAGAGGAAAAGUACAAAGUGGAAGGGGAUGCUAAUGUCUUCUCCGUAGCCUCUAGCCAGAGGCUUACGGGAAUAAUCCCAAGUGAAGUCACGGCUGCCCCCAACUCAAUCUGUUGCUUUAUUUGUUUCUAUCUUGCGGCCGGCCCUACUCCCAAAAGCACUAGAGUCCUAAUCAAACUUUGGCUUUCUUUUUUCCCGCUGAGCUGCCAUCCCAAAAGUAAGGAAACUUACUUACUAUGCCAAACUGCUCUCGUUAAUUCAAAUCAAAUGACCAGCUAAUAGAGUAUUUACGGCUCCCAUAUUGCACUUUCAAUUGGUGGUUGAUAUCACACGUCUUUCUCGUACCUUCUGGACUUGUGAAGAUUUGAGUUGACACAACCCCGCCAGACAGCACUUGGAAUGCGAGAUUUUCACUCAUUUUAUUAUAUUUUGCUCCAAGUCCCUAUGAUAAGUACAAAUGCCAAAAAUGAGUAGAAUCGGACAAUUAAUCCAUAUUGGAUCAGGUAAUAGGGGAAAUUAAUAAUAAAAUAAAUGAUAAAAUUACACCCUAUUUGAUAAUGGAACAGCAAUUGAACAAACACCAAUAUUUGAUAAUGGCUAUUGCUCUACCUACCAUAUUGCCAAGAUAUCAAGAAAAAUAUAUAUCAAGCAUCAGUGAUCAAGAUCCAAGAAACAUCACUUCGGUUAGCUUCUAAACCGCAAACUCCUCUAAUUUCAGGUUAACUAAUCUAAGAAGAAGGAAUGACGCACAACAUUUGUCAGCAAAUGGUCCAACUAUUAACCAACAUCUCAACAUUAAAUCCAUAAUUCGUCAAGCUGACUCAUAUCACACACUAACACAACCUUUAUUUUUUCACAUUUUUCUACUUUUCUUUUUUUUUAUUAUUUUUUUGCUUUUCCCAAUAAUAACAAAAGACUUAGUCGCUAGCCAUUGACCAGUCUGCCGCCGCCUCUCCCUCACUCGCCGUCCACGCUGCCAUCGCCCACACCAGCGGUCACCCUCGCUGCCAAGCCGCUGCCCGCGCUCAUCUCUCUCUCUACGACCACAACCACCACUUCUCCUCCUGCCCAGCAGCGCACCACCACGCAACCUCCUCCAGUUCACCACCCUCUCGGCCACCUCAGCUCACGUUCCACCAAAGCCACAAGCAGCCGCGCGCAUCUCCCGUUCUCCUCCAUUGCCGCACGUCAUCACCUGUCAAAAUUGACAGGUGGAGGUAUUGUAAUUUCUUCCCCGAUUAGCAUAAAUUUCUGGAAUUUGUGUUUGGGUUUCUGAUGAUUAGAAGAAGGUGUUGUUUUGGGAAAUUUCUAGGGUAAAAUUGUGGACGGAAUUGGGUUCAAUUGCUGCCAUAUGUGGGGAUAUUUCCUGAGAUUUAUUGAGUUGCUGCUGUUUGAUUUAAAUCUUACCUGUGUAUACACCAGUGGUACUGGUUGUGCUAAUUUGCUUACAAUUUCUUAUUUCGAUAUGAUUGAGCAUCUGUGACUGAGUAUCCUUCGAUCUUGCUGCUUUGUUGGGAUCGUUUUUGGUGUCAAUUGAGUAUCAUUUGGUACUUUCUGCCUAGAGUCUAUUGAGCUGCCUUUGGUUGGGGUUUAUUGCAUUUAAUUGAUGCAUUGGACGGCUCCUGUGCCAUUUCCGUUGCUUAUUGAAGUAGGUUGCCUCUAUUUGCCUUGGGAGUUAUUUGCCCAAUUGACUACCAUUUUGGUCUUUUCGAUUUCUGGUACUGCUUGGCGUUGCUUGGAAUUAUCAAUACUUUGGGUUGGUCAUUUGCUUUAAUUUUUCCCUGUGCCUCCACCAGUGGUACUGGUUGGAGUAAUUGGACCUGGAUUUGUUACUUUUAUUUGGUUGGUUGCCUGCCUAAUAGCUACGAGUUUGUAAUUGAGAUACUGAGGUCAAAGUUGUGCGCUACUUUGCUGGAUUAUGUUGGUUUCGAAGGUCAUAUGCUUAUUACUGUGAGCGGUUAUGCUUUAUGGGAAUGUUCGCAACUAGUGGUUGGGUGGAUUUUCCUUGAAUUGCUUGAUAGCAAUUGGUAGAGUACAUUUGAAUUGGUGGGCUGUGGUUUCAAUUGUGGUAGCUGGCCUGUUUUGGUCUUGUCAAAAUUUGGAUCUACUAUUGCUAGAAUUGUCGAUUUUGAGUUGAGAUACUCACUGACCGAUUGGAGCCUUUGUUGAGAUUUUGGGUGGACAGAGUUUGGCAUUUGCUGGUUGAAUUGAGUUAUGAUGUCUCAGAACUUGGGCGCGUACUUCCACCACAUCGGUUUCCCUCCAUCGUCCCCGCCUACCCCGUAGCCACUUGAGAGGGAAGUUUCGUUGUCCUCUUCACUUUAAUUGCUUUAAUUCCUCCAUUGAGGACAAUGUAGGAUCUAGGUGUGGGGGGGGGACAGCUAUACUAGUUCUUUAUUUUUAAUUUGCUAUUUGUCCACCUUUCGUUCAAUGUCUUUCUUCCUUUUUAAUGAUUAGCUCAUAAGUGAUGCCAAGGUUUGAUGUUGGAUUAUUGUCUCUAUUUCUACUUUUGCCAAUUUUAAUAAUAAAAGGGCAUCAAGUUAAUGUGGUUGAAUCCAAAAACAUCUCUUUGGUGAAUAUUAAUAAUUGUUUUACUUUUAUAAUUUUUGGUUAACUUUUCUAGGCAUAGGGAAUGGUUAUUGGCAUUUUCAUGUGAAUUGGUCCGGUUAUUAACUUUAGUUCUCCAUAUUUAAAAAUAGGACUAGCAGCUGCAAAGUUCCUUUUGAUUUUUGUGUUAUUUUGAAUUUUUGGUAUUAUUUGGCUGUGAAUAAGAGUUGACUGUACUCCGCUAGUAUUUACUACCGAGUAACCGGGGAUCUUCACCAAAAGUGUUGAUUCUCGCGUCAAAAGGUAGUAAUUGCUAUGAGUACGUGGUCACGUGGCGAUAGAAGCUGAGUAACCGGGCUCUUUCAUCUGGCCAAUGUUGGAGCUCGCGUCAAAAGGCUCAAAUGGCUAGCGACUAAGUCUUUUGUUACAAAAAAAAAGAGAAUCAAAAAAAAAAAAAGAGGAGAGAAAAGUAGAAAAAAAUGUGAAAAAAGGUGAAAGUUGUGUUAGUGUGUAAUAAAAGUCAGCUUGCCGAAUUAUGAAUUUAGCGUUGAGAUUAUGGUUAAUAGUUGGACCAUUUGCUGAUAAAUGUUAUGCGUCAUUCCUUUUUCUUAGAUUAGUUAACCUGAAAUUAGAGGAGUUUGUGGUUUAGAAGCUAACCGAAGUGAUGUUUCUUGGAUCUUGAUCACCCAUGCUUGAUAUAUAUUUUUCUUGGUAUUUUGGCAAUAUGGUAGAUGGAGCAAUGACCAUUGUCAAAUAUUGGUACUUAUUUGUUGUUCUCAUGCUUGAGGACAAGCAUGGUCUAGGUGUGGGGGGAAUUGAUAGGGUGUAAUUUUAUCAUUUAUUUUAUUAUUAAUUUUCCCUAUUACCUGACCCGAUGUGGAUUAAUUGCUGGAUUCUACUCAUUUUUAGUGUUUUGCAUAUAUUCCAGGGAGUAGAACAAAAAUAUGAUAACAAGUGCUAAUUUGACAAAAAAGGAGUCUAAGGCACAGAGCUUAUCCCAGGGGCAUUGUUGGCAAAGGCAAACUUAUGCCCAUUUUAGUAAUUGCCGAAGACAAAAGCAUUAAAAGGAGCAACGAAGGGCUGAAGGCAGGGGUCGGCUUCUUCCUCUCCGGAAGGAGAGCCGCCGCAGAGGAGAUAGGAAAUAUAGAAAUAGCAUAGGACUAGCACUACGGAAGCUUAGCUUUUGAUUUCUCUUUGGAGAGCUUUUCGUCUUGUAGCUUAGCCGCAGUUGUUGACUUUUCUUCUUAGUCUUUGUUAGUUAGCUUUUUCUUACGCAUGGAAGAUUGCUGAGGAGCUUAGCUUAUGUCUUUGAUUCUGCCUAUUCAAUUUCUCUUCUCCGAAUGUCGGACAAAAGCGAACACACUCAGUGGACUCUUGUAGCUUUCUUUCUUUAUUGAAUAGACGAAUUGAAUUCGCCCAGCUUCCCAAUUGAUGGCUGCAGCUUUUGCUACAAUUUCUGGCGGAUUUAGUUCAUCAAUUAUGAACUAAUUUUCUUUUUCUAGUCAAGGAGCAACGAAGGCUCUGGUUCGUCUGAAAAUUGUGAGAUCGAUUUAAUUUAAUCUUUUCCUUUUAUUUAUUGGUAUCCGCAUAUUUCUUGAUUGCUAUGCUUAUGGUUAUUUUAUUAAUUGGUUGUCUUGGAUCCAGAUAAUUAAUUGAUUGGGUAAUCUAUUGUCAAUUGGGGUAUUAAAUCCGUAAUUGUUUAAUUACCUCAAAAUAGUGACAACUGGCUCGAUUAGAUUCGUGUCAGGGGGAUACGCGGGCUAAUCUAAAAUAACCCUGGUAGUGCGUUAUUUGGUUAGAAUAGGGCUCCUCUAAUACGUAAGGCAAUUGGGGAAUUAAAUCUUACGGGCGUACUUAGGAUUAUUUCUCAAUUAGAGCAGUGAUUAACGGGCGUACCUUAAUCACCGACACAAUAAGGAGGGGUUGACUGCCAUCGCUUGUUUGGUAGUUAUAACCUAUUUAUUGAUGAAUAAUUGGAAUUGCCUUUGCUUAUCGAUGAUCAAUUAGGUGAACCAUUGCUGAAGUUAUUUCUUGGCUAGAUCCUUAAUUAUCAUUCAUUUGAUUUUAGUAAUUUGUUAUUUAAUUUCUAGUUGGCUAUUUUAUUUUUAUUAUUUUUAGUUGAAUUGUUUAAAUUGUCACCCCUGAGAUAAAAACACCCCCUUGUCACUGUGAAUUUAAAAAGAAACAAUUACUCCCAGUCCCUGUGGAUUCGACCCUGCUUACCACUAUCUGCAGAAAUUAAUUUUAGUUUGAGCAGGUUUUAUUAUUGCACAGGCUUCGACAACCUGUCAAUUUUUGGACAGCUAUACUAAUUCUUUAUUUUUAAUUUGCUAUUUGUCCACCUUUCGUUCAAUGUCUUUCUUCCUUUUUAAUGAUUAGCUCAUAAGUGAUGCCAAGGUUUGAUGUUGGAUUAUUGUCUCUAUUUCUACUUUUGCCAAUUUUAAUAAUAAAAGGGUAUCAAGUUAAUGUGGUUGAAUCCAAAAACAUCUCUUUGGUGAAUAUUAAUAAUUGUUUUACUUUUAUAAUUUUUGGUUAACUUUUCUAGGCAUAGGGAAUGGUUAUUGGCAUUUUCAUGUGAAUUGGUCCGGUUAUUAACUUUAGUUCUCCAUAUUUAAAAAUAGGACUAGCAGCUGCAAAGUUCCUUUUGAUUUUUGUGUUAUUUUGAAUUUUUGGUAUUAUUUGGCUGUGAAUAAGAGUUGACUGUACUCCGCUAGUAUUUACUACCGAGUAACCGGGGAUCUUCACCAAAAGUGUUGAUUCUCGCGUCAAAAGGUAGUAAUUGCUAUGAGUACAUGGUCACGUGGCGAUAGAAGCUGAGUAACCGGGCUCUUUCAUCUGGCCAAUGUUGGAGUUCGCGUCAAAAGGCUCAAAUGGCUAGCGACUAAGUCUUUUGUUACAAAAAAAAAAAGAGAAUCAAAAAAAAAAAAGAGGAGAGAAAAGUAGAAAAAAAAUGUGAAAAAAGGUGAAGGUUGUGUUAGUGUGUAAUAAAAGUCAGCUUGCCGAAUUAUGAAUUUAGCGUUGAGAUUAUGGUUAAUAGUUGGACCAUUUGCUGAUAAAUGUUAUGCGUCAUUCCUUUUUCUUAGAUUAGUUAACCUGAAAUUAGAGGAGUUUGUGGUUUAGAAGCUAACCGAAGUGAUGUUUCUUGGAUCUUGAUCACCCAUGCUUGAUAUAUAUUUUUCUUGGUAUUUUGGCAGUAUGGUAGAUGGAGCAAUGACCAUUGUCAAAUAUUGGUACUUAUUUGUUGUUCUCAUGCUUGAGGACAAGCAUGGUCUAGGUGUGGGGGGAAUUGAUAGGGUGUAAUUUUAUCAUUUAUUUUAUUAUUAAUUUUCCCUAUUACCUGACCCGAUGUGGAUUAAUUGCUGGAUUCUACUCAUUUUUAGUGUUUUGCAUAUAUUCCAGGGAGUAGAACAAAAAUAUGAUAACAAGUGCUAAUUUGACAAAAAAGGAGUCUAAGGCACAGAGCUUAUCCCAGGGGCAUUGCUGGCAAAGGCAAACUUAUGCCCAUUUUAGUAAUUGCCGAAGACAAAAGCAUUAAAAGGAGCAACGAAGGGCUGAAGGCAGGGGUCGGCUUCUUCCUCUCCGGAAGGAGAGCCGCCGCAGAGGAGAUAGGAAAUAUAGAAAUAGCAUAGGACUAGCACUACGGAAGCUUAGCUUUUGAUUUCUCUUUGGAGAGCUUUUCGUCUUGUAGCUUAGCCGCAGUUGUUGACUUUUCUUCUUAGUCUUUGUUAGUUAGCUUUUUCUUACGCAUGGAAGAUUGCUGAGGAGCUUAGCUUAUGUCUUUGAUUCUGCCUAUUCAAUUUCUCUUCUCCGAAUGUCGGACAAAAGCGAACACACUCAGUGGACUCUUGUAGCUUUCUUUCUUUAUUGAAUAGACGAAUUGAAUUCGCCCAGCUUCCCAAUUGAUGGCUGCAGCUUUUGCUACAAUUUCUGGCGGAUUUAGUUCAUCAAUUAUGAACUAAUUUUCUUUUUCUAGUCAAGGAGCAACGAAGGCUCUGGUUCGUCUGAAAAUUGUGAGAUCGAUUUAAUUUAAUCUUUUCCUUUUAUUUAUUGGUAUCCGCAUAUUUCUUGAUUGCUAUGCUUAUGGUUAUUUUAUUAAUUGGUUGUCUUGGAUCCAGAUAAUUAAUUGAUUGGGUAAUCUAUUGUCAAUUGGGGUAUUAAAUCCGUAAUUGUUUAAUUACCUCAAAAUAGUGACAACUGGCUCGAUUAGAUUCGUGUCAGGGGGAUACGCGGGCUAAUCUAAAAUAACCCUGGUAGUGCGUUAUUUGGUUAGAAUAGGGCUCCUCUAAUACGUAAGGCAAUUGGGGAAUUAAAUCUUACGGGCGUACUUAGGAUUAUUUCUCAAUUAGAGCAGUGAUUAACGGGCGUACCUUAAUCACCGACACAAUAAGGAGGGGUUGACUGCCAUCGCUUGUUUGGUAGUUAUAACCUAUUUAUUGAUGAAUAAUUGGAAUUGCCUUUGCUUAUCGAUGAUCAAUUAGGUGAACCAUUGCUGAAGUUAUUUCUUGGCUAGAUCCUUAAUUAUCAUUCAUUUGAUUUUAGUAAUUUGUUAUUUAAUUUCUAGUUGGCUAUUUUAUUUUUAUUAUUUUUAGUUGAAUUGUUUAAAUUGUCACCCCUGAGAUAAAAACACCCCCUUGUCACUGUGAAUUUAAAAAGAAACAAUUACUCCCAGUCCCUGUGGAUUCGACCCUGCUUACCACUAUCUGCAGAAAUUAAUUUUAGUUUGAGCAGGUUUUAUUAUUGCACAGGCUUCGACAACCUGUCAAUUUUUGGACAGCUAUACUAAUUCUUUAUUUUUAAUUUGCUAUUUGUCCACCUUUCGUUCAAUGUCUUUCUUCCUUUUUAAUGAUUAGCUCAUAAGUGAUGCCAAGGUUUGAUGUUGGAUUAUUGUCUCUAUUUCUACUUUUGCCAAUUUUAAUAAUAAAAGGGUAUCAAGUUAAUGUGGUUGAAUCCAAAAACAUCUCUUUGGUGAAUAUUAAUAAUUGUUUUACUUUUAUAAUUUUUGGUUAACUUUUCUAGGCAUAGGGAAUGGUUAUUGGCAUUUUCAUGUGAAUUGGUCCGGUUAUUAACUUUAGUUCUCCAUAUUUAAAAAUAGGACUAGCAGCUGCAAAGUUCCUUUUGAUUUUUGUGUUAUUUUGAAUUUUUGGUAUUAUUUGGCUGUGAAUAAGAGUUGACUGUACUCCGCUAGUAUUUACUACCGAGUAACCGGGGAUUUUCACCAAAAGUGUUGAUUCUCGCGUCAAAAGGUAGUAAUUGCUAUGAGUACAUGGUCACGUGGCGAUAGAAGCUGAGUAACCGGGCUCUUUCAUCUGGCCAAUGUUGGAGUUCGCGUCAAAAGGCUCAAAUGGCUAGCGACUAAGUCUUUUGUUACAAAAAAAAAAAGAGAAUCAAAAAAAAAAAAGAGGAGAGAAAAGUAGAAAAAAAAUGUGAAAAAAGGUGAAGGUUGUGUUAGUGUGUAAUAAAAGUCAGCUUGCCGAAUUAUGAAUUUAGCGUUGAGAUUAUGGUUAAUAGUUGGACCAUUUGCUGAUAAAUGUUAUGCGUCAUUCCUUUUUCUUAGAUUAGUUAACCUGAAAUUAGAGGAGUUUGUGGUUUAGAAGCUAACCGAAGUGAUGUUUCUUGGAUCUUGAUCACCCAUGCUUGAUAUAUAUUUUUCUUGGUAUUUUGGCAAUAUGGUAGAUGGAGCAAUGACCAUUGUCAAAUAUUGGUACUUAUUUGUUGUUCUCAUGCUUGAGGACAAGUAUGGUCUAGGUGUGGGGGGAAUUGAUAGGGUGUAAUUUUAUCAUUUAUUUUAUUAUUAAUUUUCCCUAUUACCUGACCCGAUGUGGAUUAAUUGCUGGAUUCUACUCAUUUUUAGUGUUUUGCAUAUAUUCCAGGGAGUAGAACAAAAAUAUGAUAACAAGUGCUAAUUUGACAAAAAAGGAGUCUAAGGCACAGAGCUUAUCCCAGGGGCAUUGCUGGCAAAGGCAAACUUAUGCCCAUUUUAGUAAUUGCCGAAGACAAAAGCAUUAAAAGGAGCAACGAAGGGCUGAAGGCAGGGGUCGGCUUCUUCCUCUCCGGAAGGAGAGCCGCCGCAGAGGAGAUAGGAAAUAUAGAAAUAGCAUAGGACUAGCACUACGGAAGCUUAGCUUUUGAUUUCUCUUUGGAGAGCUUUUCGUCUUGUAGCUUAGCCGCAGUUGUUGACUUUUCUUCUUAGUCUUUGUUAGUUAGCUUUUUCUUACGCAUGGAAGAUUGCUGAGGAGCUUAGCUUAUGUCUUUGAUUCUGCCUAUUCAAUUUCUCUUCUCCGAAUGUCGGACAAAAGCGAACACACUCAGUGGACUCUUGUAGCUUUCUUUCUUUAUUGAAUAGACGAAUUGAAUUCGCCCAGCUUCCCAAUUGAUGGCUGCAGCUUUUGCUACAAUUUCUGGCGGAUUUAGUUCAUCAAUUAUGAACUAAUUUUCUUUUUCUAGUCAAGGAGCAACGAAGGCUCUGGUUCGUCUGAAAAUUGUGAGAUCGAUUUAAUUUAAUCUUUUCCUUUUAUUUAUUGGUAUCCGCAUAUUUCUUGAUUGCUAUGCUUAUGGUUAUUUUAUUAAUUGGUUGUCUUGGAUCCAGAUAAUUAAUUGAUUGGGUAAUCUAUUGUCAAUUGGGGUAUUAAAUCCGUAAUUGUUUAAUUACCUCAAAAUAGUGACAACUGGCUCGAUUAGAUUCGUGUCAGGGGGAUACGCGGGCUAAUCUAAAAUAACCCUGGUAGUGCGUUAUUUGGUUAGAAUAGGGCUCCUCUAAUACGUAAGGCAAUUGGGGAAUUAAAUCUUACGGGCGUACUUAGGAUUAUUUCUCAAUUAGAGCAGUGAUUAACGGGCGUACCUUAAUCACCGACACAAUAAGGAGGGGUUGACUGCCAUCGCUUGUUUGGUAGUUAUAACCUAUUUAUUGAUGAAUAAUUGGAAUUGCCUUUGCUUAUCGAUGAUCAAUUAGGUGAACCAUUGCUGAAGUUAUUUCUUGGCUAGAUCCUUAAUUAUCAUUCAUUUGAUUUUAGUAAUUUGUUAUUUAAUUUCUAGUUGGCUAUUUUAUUUUUAUUAUUUUUAGUUGAAUUGUUUAAAUUGUCACCCCUGAGAUAAAAACACCCCCUUGUCACUGUGAAUUUAAAAAGAAACAAUUACUCCCAGUCCCUGUGGAUUCGACCCUGCUUACCACUAUCUGCAGAAAUUAAUUUUAGUUUGAGCAGGUUUUAUUAUUGCACAGGCUUCGACAACCUGUCAAUUUUUGGACAGCUAUACUAAUUCUUUAUUUUUAAUUUGCUAUUUGUCCACCUUUCGUUCAAUGUCUUUCUUCCUUUUUAAUGAUUAGCUCAUAAGUGAUGCCAAGGUUUGAUGUUGGAUUAUUGUCUCUAUUUCUACUUUUGCCAAUUUUAAAAAUAAAAGGGUAUCAAGUUAAUGUGGUUGAAUCCAAAAACAUCUCUUUGGUGAAUAUUAAUAAUUGUUUUACUUUUAUAAUUUUUGGUUAACUUUUCUAGGCAUAGGGAAUGGUUAUUGGCAUUUUCAUGUGAAUUGGUCCGGUUAUUAACUUUAGUUCUCCAUAUUUAAAAAUAGGACUAGCAGCUGCAAAGUUCCUUUUGAUUUUUGUGUUAUUUUGAAUUUUUGGUAUUAUUUGGCUGUGAAUAAGAGUUGACUGUACUCCGCUAGUAUUUACUACCGAGUAACCGGGGAUCUUCACCAAAAGUGUUGAUUCUCGCGUCAAAAGGUAGUAAUUGCUAUGAGUACGUGGUCACGUGGCGAUAGAAGCUGAGUAACCGAGCUCUUUCAUCUGGCCAAUGUUGGAGCUCGCGUCAAAAGGCUCAAAUGGCUAGCGACUAAGUCUUUUGUUACAAAAAAAAAGAGAAUCAAAAAAAAAAAAAGAGGAGAGAAAAGUAGAAAAAAAUGUGAAAAAAGGUGAAGGUUGUGUUAGUGUGUAAUAAAAGUCAGCUUGCCGAAUUAUGAAUUUAGCGUUGAGAUUAUGGUUAAUAGUUGGACCAUUUGCUGAUAAAUGUUAUGCGUCAUUCCUUUUUCUUAGAUUAGUUAACCUGAAAUUAGAGGAGUUUGUGGUUUAGAAGCUAACCGAAGUGAUGUUUCUUGGAUCUUGAUCACCCAUGCUUGAUAUAUAUUUUUCUUGGUAUUUUGGCAGUAUGGUAGAUGGAGCAAUGACCAUUGUCAAAUAUUGGUACUUAUUUGUUGUUCUCAUGCUUGAGGACAAGCAUGGUCUAGGUGUGGGGGGAAUUGAUAGGGUGUAAUUUUAUCAUUUAUUUUAUUAUUAAUUUUCCCUAUUACCUGACCCGAUGUGGAUUAAUUGCUGGAUUCUACUCAUUUUUAGUGUUUUGCAUAUAUUCCAGGGAGUAGAACAAAAAUAUGAUAACAAGUGCUAAUUUGACAAAAAAGGAGUCUAAGGCACAGAGCUUAUCCCAGGGGCAUUGCUGGCAAAGGCAAACUUAUGCCCAUUUUAGUAAUUGCCGAAGACAAAAGCAUUAAAAGGAGCAACGAAGGGCUGAAGGCAGGGGUCGGCUUCUUCCUCUCCGGAAGGAGAGCCGCCGCAGAGGAGAUAGGAAAUAUAGAAAUAGCAUAGGACUAGCACUACGGAAGCUUAGCUUUUGAUUUCUCUUUGGAGAGCUUUUCGUCUUGUAGCUUAGCCGCAGUUGUUGACUUUUCUUCUUAGUCUUUGUUAGUUAGCUUUUUCUUACGCAUGGAAGAUUGCUGAGGAGCUUAGCUUAUGUCUUUGAUUCUGCCUAUUCAAUUUCUCUUCUCCGAAUGUCGGACAAAAGCGAACACACUCAGUGGACUCUUGUAGCUUUCUUUCUUUAUUGAAUAGACGAAUUGAAUUCGCCCAGCUUCCCAAUUGAUGGCCGCAGCUUUUGCUACAAUUUCUGGCGGAUUUAGUUCAUCAAUUAUGAACUAAUUUUCUUUUUCUAGUCAAGGAGCAACGAAGGCUCUGGUUCGUCUGAAAAUUGUGAGAUCGAUUUAAUUUAAUCUUUUCCUUUUAUUUAUUGGUAUCCGCAUAUUUCUUGAUUGCUAUGCUUAUGGUUAUUUUAUUAAUUGGUUGUCUUGGAUCCAGAUAAUUAAUUGAUUGGGUAAUCUAUUGUCAAUUGGGGUAUUAAAUCCGUAAUUGUUUAAUUACCUCAAAAUAGUGACAACUGGCUCGAUUAGAUUCGUGUCAGGGGGAUACGCGGGCUAAUCUAAAAUAACCCUGGUAGUGCGUUAUUUGGUUAGAAUAGGGCUCCUCUAAUACGUAAGCCAAUUGGGGAAUUAAAUUCUACGGGCGUACCUAGGAUUAUUUCUCAAUUAGAGCAGUGAUUAACGGGCGUACCUUGAUCACCGACACAGUAAGGAGGGGUUGACUGCCAUUGCUUGUUUGGUAGUUAUAACCUAUUUAUUAGUAAAUAAUUAGAAUUGCCUUUGCUUAUCGAUGAUCAAUUAGGUGAACCAUUGCUGAAGUUAUUCCUGGGCUAGAUUCUUAAUUAUCAUUCAUUUGAUUUUAGUAAUUUGUUAUUUAAUUUUUAGUAGUUUCUUAGAUUUUAUUUGAAUUUAUUUGAUUGUCACUUUCUGCACAAAAACACCCCCUUGUCACUGUGAACUUGAAAAGAAACAAUUACUCCCAGUCCCUGUGGAUUCGACCCUGCUCACCACUAUCUACAGAAAUUAUUUUUAGUUUGAGCAGGUAUUUAUUAUUGCACAGGUUUCGACAACCUGUCACGCAUCAAAAUCAGGAACAUUAAAUUUAGACAGGCUUAUCCUACCAAAUAGCGCCGCAUUAAUACAUAAAAUCGCGCAAGGUUAUGUGCUAAAGGCAAUCAAAAACCUAAAAGCAUAGAAACAACAGAACUAAUGAAUAUCUAAUUAAUUGCGAAAGCAAAAGCACAAGGCACGACACAUCAAGGCAGUAAAAUAGUAAUUGGGAAAAUAAAAGCUGAAUAUGGCUACAGCUUAAAAACUAAGGCUAAAUAAAAGUACAAAUAUGCAUAUUGUUAAAAAGUAGUAGAAAACAUAAAGAGAUACCAGUAAGCUUAAACCUAGAUUUUGUGACCGGUAUGAACAGGAAGCAAGACCAGAGGAAGAACCUGCUUAAAAAAUAUGGUGGAAAAGCAAGAAUUUUUAAAAAGUUACAGACAAACAACAAUACAAGUGAAAAAGCAAAAGACCUUGAACACAAGAAAAUAAAUAUGCUAAAAAAACACCAAGAAAAUGCAGCUUCCUAUCCUAUACAUGAUAUCAUCAGCUUGGUAGUAAAAAGCGAAAGGGGAAAAAAGGAUCUAACCAAAAAAUACAGAUUAAUAACAAGUCUACAUGCUAACUGAAACUAAAUAGAAAAUUAGUACGAGCAUAUGAGUAGUAAAAAACCAGAACAUUCACAAGAAUCAUAUGCAUGUUAAAAAUGCUAUGAUGAUACUAAAGGACUAAACAUAAUUCAUUAAGAAAAAGAUGAUGAUGUCUUUCAAAAAAGCCUCUGGAAUACGCAACCUCACGAGGCAGAGUGAAAAGAAUACACUGACAGCAAAAAGAGAUUGAAAACAUUGGAAGUACAAUCAUACCCAUGAUUUUUUUUUUUUUUUGUCUAAAGUCAUUCAUUUAUAUCAUCAGAUGUUUGACACCUACAAGUACAUGUAUAUUUUAGCUGGCAACUGCCAGAUGAUCACUUUGUGCAGCCACAGAGGUCCACAUAGGGAAGAUACUCUUCCACCUAGUAAAAUCAUGUUGGUUUUAGCUUGUAGGUUGUAAGACAAAAAUGGUUACCAAUCAAAACAUGCUUGUAAAUCCCAUUUCACAGGCAACACUUGAUUUAUCAUUGUGGACCAGAAUUUAUAACGCGAACCAAAAAAAAGGAACCACGUGGUGAAGAAGUGGCCAAGUGUGUGUAGGCUCAACACAAGCUUAUCAUCAAUUUUUUGAAGUAGAUGAAAAAUUAUUCCAUGCAUUAAUUAAUUCCGUACGAUGAAAAUGGUGGACAAUCACUCAUAACUACAUCCAAACUAUAUUAGGUGAUUGUCACACUCAUAAAUUUGUUUGUAAAUACCAUUUUUUUAGGUGAUUGUCACAUCGUGGACUUGUGAGUGGGAGUUUUUGGCUAAAAUAAUAUACUUUUCAAAAAAUAAUCCCAAAAUAAUGUUCUUUCAGUUUUUAUUCCCUUAUUAAUCUAGUUAUUGUCAUGUAGACUCCCCGUCAAGGGAAAAAAAUAACUUAUAAAUCUUUUGUUUAUAUAUUACACAAUUUUUCUUUAUUUAGUGCCUUAAGGACAUUCUGUAAACAAAUUAAAAAAGGAAAGUGGAUCCAUAAUUAGUAUUUUAAAAUUGUUGAUCACCCUCCAAAUUGCAAUGAUUUUGUCGAAGAACUUUUUUUUUUUGCCAUUAUUCCUCCCUAGCUUUGUUCUUGAUUAUUAUAUCACAAGUUCCUUUCUUUUUUUUUUUCUUCUUACUUGCAAUUAUAUAUAUGGUAGUCUCCUAACUUUGUAAAUUUUAAGAAGUUUACAAAAACUCAAAUUGUUUGAAGUACGAGCAUAGUUAUUAAACCCGGCCCAGCCCGGCGGUUCAACCGGUCAAUCCAGUGAGCCGACCAUGAAACCGGACUGGGUUUGUAAUUGGAUCGUUAGUGCACCAAAUCCAUUGCAGCUCACUUGAUACUUAUUCACUCCUUCUAUAUUAUAUAUUAGAUUUUUAUUCUUAUUUUAUUUCUUCAAAACAAUAUUUGUUGGGAAUCUUUUAAAAAAUUUCUAUGAUUCUCUAAAUUCUAUAAAUUAUGAAAUGGAUUUAAAAAAUAACAUAUUACACAAUUCAUUUUAAAAACAAAUAUUAUUCUUAAUAACCUUUUAUGCUUAAAAUUCAAAAAUAAACUAGAUAAUUACACUUAGAUAAAAUUUUAUGCUUGAAGUUUGAUGGAUUACUAAUUAAAUUUAGGUUUUGUUAAUUCUUAUAAGAAUUAAUGAUUCUAUAAUAAAUUGGACUAACUGAGUAUUUACUAUAAUAUAGUUUAUUAUAGUUUUAACCAUAUCAAAAAUUAUAAAACAUAAUAUUUAAAUAUAUGCAGUGACCCACCGAUUGGACCACUCACCCACUGGUUGAACCAGUAACUCGUUGACCCACCUCUUUCACCGGUUUUCUCUCCGGGCCGGGUUUAAUAACUAUAAGUACGAGUAAACAAAUUCCACUAUAAGGGGAAAGAAAAUUUGAAAAAAAUUCUCUUGCAUUUUUUGACUUAUCAAAAGAGAAUACAUUCCAAAAAAAUAGGAGAGAGAAAAUAUAACUAGAUCAGUGUUAGCAUCAAAAUUAACACGCUAUAUGAGCCAAUCUAAUUUGAGAAAUACUAAUUAACUCAAUAAUAGAAAGAGAAAUAUUUUUAUUUAUCUUUAAAAUUGUACAUAAGUAGCAAAAUUUGAACUAUUGAAAGGUUACUAAAAAUCUAUUGAUGUGGAUCGUAUCUCUUAAUAUAAGAUGGAAAUGUGAAUACUUUCCAUACUUAAAGUCCACAUGGCAAUAAGUAGGUUAACAAGGGAAUAUAUUUUGAAAGUGCAUUAGUUUGGGAAUAGUUUUAAAGAAUGAGGUUAUUGUGGAAAUAAACUCUAUGAGUGGUUGCAUGUAUUUAUGACAAUCACCUAAAAUGGUUGCAUUUAAAUCUAUAGCUGUUGAAUGCAAUUAUGAGUGGUUUAAAUCUAUAGCAGUUAAAAUUUUUUUAAUGAAAUACCCUUCUCUCACAAGGCCCACAAUCGAGCCCCACAAUUGGACAGUCAAAAUAAACAUAUAAGGAGGGACAGUUAACAAGUGUCGAGUCUGUAUAAUAAUAAAUUUUUACUCAAAUAAUAUAUAGAUUUUGUAUACAGUAGUAAGUAGGGUUGAAUCCGUAGGAACUGGGGAAAUUCAUUUUCUCUUAAAUUCAAAGUUUGGGGGGAUUUUCAUAAGAAUGGAGGUAGCUAAACAGCUCAAGUAAAAAUAAAAAUAAAUAAAUAAAUAAAAACUGAGGACAGUUUAUUAUGAUUGAAUCAAUAAUAAAUAAACUCUAGCCAUGGAAUAACUUGGAAAAUGGUUCACUCAAUUGAUCAUUCAUGCAAUGAUAAUUUCGAUUAUUAAUUGAUAAACAAGUUAUAACCGCAAACAAACGAUAAUAAUCAAUUUCUCCUUACUGUAUCGGUGAUUAAGAUAUGACUAUUAAUCGCUACUCUAAUCGAGAAAUAAUCUUAAGUACGAUCGUAGAAUUCAAUUUCCUAAUUGCUUUAUGAACUAGAUAAGCCCUGUUUUAAUAAAAAAACACACUACGAGAGUUAUUUCAAAUUAACUCAUAUACUCCCAUGAUACAAACCCAAUCAUGUCAAUUAUCACUAUUUUAAAGCAAUUAAAUAAUUACAGAUUUAAUACUUUAAUUGGCUAUAGGCUUCUUGUCAUUGGAUUAUGUUUACAGUUGAAUGCUUGGCUUUUUUGGCUUAUGUUUCCUGCACAAUUGCGUGGUUGAUCUAAGGUACGGAAAAAUUAAUCGGUAAACAGGUACUAUUCAAUGUUUACAUGUUAAUAAAGAAUGAGAGGAAUAUCAAAGACUACUGUUUAAAAGAGGUGGCAAACCUGAAGAAUGGUUAGUUGAAUUAGAAUCCCUACACCAUGUAUGCUUAGGUAUUCUCUUUGAGGAGGAAGGAACCUGAUUAAAGACAAGAAGACACGUUGAAAAUUUGAAUGGUGCAUAUAACAUAUAAUAUAUGCUAAAAGAAUAAUGGCUUGAAAUAGUAACAAGCCACACCUUUUUCACGAGUUGAGAAAAUAGUAAACUGGCCAUUCUUUUUUGUUUUUUCAUUAUUAUGAGAAGGAGAAGCAGGCGAUGCUGAUUUAAAUGUGAAAUCAGUGCUGGUUUAGACUUCAAUGUUAGUUAAGAUUUCUAGUUGUUUGGAUUGUCAUUUUUCUUCCAAAAAAAUGUUAAACAUAUUUUUCAAUCAUAUUUUUAUCUCAUAUAUCAAAUUAUUUCGUAUAAUUUUUUAUAAAAACUUUAGAAAAUAACAAUCCAAACGUAAAGCAGGCCUUAUUGGAUUGCCAUGGACAUUAGACUAUGUGUGCGCACAUUUAAGAGAGCGUGUAUUUGGUUUCUGAGUUUGUGUUUGCUGCAUCUUAUACACUCAUGGCUCAGAAGCCAAACCAAACAUAAAACUAACAAGAUUAAUAACGAAUAUGUGAAGAAAAAAUUCUACUAGAAUUUGUAGAAUAAAUGAAAUGAAUUUACAAAUAGCUAGACCUUGUAUAGUUUGGUCACUGGAGUCCAGAGUAACCAAUUAACCAGAAGCAGUAGAAGUUGCAGCUUCUUGAAGCUGCGAUGCAAGGGCGUCAACCUCAGAUUUGUGCUUUUUUUUUCCUUCGUCUUUUUUCGCUUGGGGCUCUUGUUCUUCUUCAACCUCUUGAUGAUCAUGAUUAAGAGGCAGAGAGUCUGAAAGAACCAUUUUUUGAGCUUGUUUUGAGUUGUUGGGGAGCAGGAAGGCUCAAUAAUUUAUUUAUUCUUCUUCUUUGGUAUGCCUCCCUUUGGCAUGCUUACUCCUAGAGGUAAACUAGGGAUGCUUACUCUCCAUUGUAUAAUUUUGAGCUUUGAAAUUCCUUCAAUUGAUGGGGAUUUCAAAUCCAAAUUCAGUCAAAUCCCUCUCAAACAGAUCCUCUGAAGAUCUUUCCUAUCCCGCUCAUCAUUUUGUUACGGUUUUUUCGCAGGUCAAAUGAUUGUAGAAAUAUGGUCAUACAACAAUGAAAUGGAAUACCCUCGAUCCUUUUUUCUUAAUGCUCUUGAGUUCCAUACUUCCUGUUAGUUUCUUUCACAUUGAACUUAAUCAGUAGGGGCAAUAAUCAAGUAAUUAUAAAGUUUUAGAUUUGACUCUCAAAUUCUUCCUCUAUGCUUUUUUUUCUUAAUUAGAGUCUCACUUGAAAAAUUGAAGUACAAAAAUUUCUGUUUUUUAUUCUUUUAUUUAUUUAUGUUUGUGGAGCUUUAACUUCCCAUACAUAUACAAAUCUCUAGUGCCUGAAAUUGCUGCUAUUUCACGCACAAAUUUAUUUUUUAUAAAGGAAGUGUUCAUUUAUAUGGCAAUAGGCCCUAAAACUAGUCUCUCAAAAAAGAUCUUUUGGUAUAUAACUAUAGUCCCAUGGGCUGCUGAAUAACUUUGAAUUAACCAUUUUGAACUCAUGAUUUCUAUUUAAAAAGUUAUUGAGCCAGUCCAGUGGAUCUAAGGUGUCAUAAAUGGCAUCAAAACAAACCUAGUGCGGUUUUUGCUUGGGAUGAGUUUGGGACCAAUGAUGUUAUAGUUCUAGCUUCAAAAGUGAGUUAAGGAGCUGAGUGUUGUGUGGGACUAAAUGCCACGCUCAACAGGGGUAAUUGCUAAAACUCGUGAGACUAGGUGCCAUGUUGAACGGAGACCACUACUAGAAUUUGUACAAGUUACCUCUAGAAUUCAAGCACAACUAAGUGGGCACUUUGGAUUGUGAUCAAAUUUUAUGAGGAUGCAAAGUUCCUAAGAUGGGUAAAUGAGAUGUCUCGACAUGGGAGAAGAAAACAAUUGGUAUACAACUCUAGACCUAUGGAUUACUGAAUUACUUUAACUCAACCAUUUUGAUCUUGUGGUUUGAAUUCAAAAAGUUAUUAGGUCAGUUUAGUAGAUCUAAGAUAUUACAAAUGGUAUCAGAGUAAAUUUUACAUGGUCUUUGCAUGGAAUAAGCCUAGAACUAGUGAUAUUGAGACUAAGUGCCAUAUUGGACGAGGAUCAUGUCUAGAAUCUUGAGAAGUAAGUAUUAUAUUGGACGGAAACCACCUUUAAAGUCCACACAAGUAACCUUGAGAGUUCACAUGAGAUUAAAUUUAAGUGGAUAAUUUGAAUUAUGACCGAACCUUGUGAGGACACAAAGUUCCAAAAGUGGAGCGGAGUGAAAUAUUCCACAUUGGAAGUGGGAGAAAGAAAUAAUUGGCAUAUAACUCUAGGCCCAUAGGCUACUGAAUAAUUUGGAUUGAUCAUUUUAUCUCAUAAUUUCAGCUCAAAAUGUUAUUAGCCAGUCUAGUGGACCCGAGGCCUCAUACAGGAACAGUUUCAUAUUCAAUCGCUUGCCAAAAUCCUAUCUUAGCAAUUACCGAUACACACCUGAUCAAUCAGUGAUUUUUUGGCAUCAAGCUCUGUACAAAUGCGCACCAUUGAAACUGUAGCUGCAUCAAGCUUUAAAGUCUCUCCAAAAAACUUACCAAUUGAGUAUAAAGUGACUUUGUUAAAACGAUGAAUAGGCAGACGAUCGAGUUUUAUCCAAACCGAAACUAUAGAGGAUUUUAUGUCAACAUUGAAAUUCGGACUCCACUUAAAAUCUCUCAUAGAAAACCCUUAUCGGGUACAGUACUCCUCUGAUUCAAGCAGAAUUGAGAGAUGCCAGGGUCUGAGAGGCCUAGCGAAAAGAAACCUCUAAAACCCGUGGCAAGAAAGUCUUUCCAAAACUGUCCCACACUCGGCCUCCCUCGAGAGAAUUUACGAACUAUAGAGAAUUUAGAAGGAACAACAAAAGCUUGAAUGUCUUCUCCUAAGAAAUAAUACCGCAGGUUUCCCACGGUGCACAUCUGCUUUCUUGAUUUGGAGUGAAGAGAGUUGUUGAGAAGAAAGAACAUCAGCAAAUGAACAUUUGGAAGGAAAUGAUGAGAAAGUUGCUUGCCAAUCCCAAAAUGGAAGGCAUCCAUGAAAUGUCCUCUUGGGUAGAUGAUUGGGAUUCAGGGCCUCACAAGUUCCAUUUUAUUUUAUUUUAUUUUCGGGAAAAUUGACAAUUUUGUUGGCAUAUUAAAUCAAGACUCAAAAUUAGAAAUUUUCAUGUUAUUAUUUAGUAGUGUUUUAGUCAAGUUAGAGUUUUAGCAAUUUUGCUGGAGUCAAGUUAUGGUGGUUUCAUUUUGUAGGAAAUAAGUAUCUUAUUAGAAAAUUUCUUAUGGUUGUAACAUUUGUUUUCCAAGUCAUCUAAGUUUAUAAAUAUAGAGUUAUAUUAUUGUAUUAGCUAAGAAGAGUAAAAGUUGAGAGUCUUAUUAUUAUGGCAUGCAAUUAAUGAUAUAUUGUUGAAUUUUGUUCCUCUUCUCCCACACAUAUUUGUAUGUGUGUAAAUUGCCUUCUCAUAUGCAUUGAUUUUUUGAAAUUUAUCUCCUACAGAUUUUUGGUGAAUUUUUUGAGUUCUACAAAUUUUAAAUUUUGUUACUCCUUUUUCUAACUUUGUUAUAUCACAUUUAAAUUUUUGUGAUAUUGUUUCUCAACUCAAUUACGUCAAAGUGUAAACUUGUAGAAAAUGAAACUUGUGAAGCCCCAUGAUUGAGGAUAUGCUGAUGUGAUCUCUUCUAUCACCUUCAUCAAAUUAUUCCAUUUUCUAUGCUGCUUGUAAGUGAUGCAUCUUAUUUGUAAAUCUACAGCAUCUCGGCUUUUGUUUGUAACACCUUCUAAGUUGCAGGAGGAAGAAUGAUUGGAAACCAAACAUGGCAAAUAUGCCCAAUCCCCUUUUCACUAAUGGGCUAAUUAGUUACCAUGGGAUACAACCUUAAUCAGACUCAAGAUUUCACUGCAGUUUUUUGGAGCCCUUAAUUAUGGUAAACCUUAGCCAGGAGGAUAACUUAUUCUAUACCUGGUCAAUAAUUCAUUCUAAUCUGUUUUUGAAAAACGAAUUACCCUAUAAUGUCAGAUUUCACCAGAAAAAGAAUUGCUAUUCGAUCGUCACAAUUUUCAAGAAAUUCAGGAAAUAUAUUACACUGCAAUAUAUGAUCAGGCGAGGAGAAAAUUUUCCUUACCUGGAUACGUUACAGGUAAGGUCUGAGUUUUGCAGAAAUUUUAAAAGGAUUUCAUUCUUUCCACUAUAGAAUCUACCCUCAAUGUGAAUUCUUGAAAUCAAUGUUCAACGUUGAUUGUCAAACCACAAAAAAUUUCUUGAAUGAAAACUCUUGGUUUUCUUCCCAAAGUAAUUAUGCUCCAAGGGUCAACAAACGCAAUCCCUUUCAAAUUGACUUGCCAUUCCAAAUCAAUUUUUAACUUGUGAUUAGAUUCAUACACAAAAUAUAGAAAAUAUUGGACCAAAAAAAUUGAGUUGAUUGAGAACUAAAAAAGAGUAUAUUAUAAAUUUCUCCAACUAUAGAUUUCUUUAUAAUUUUGAAAAAACAACUUUACCUUCUUUUUCUUAACCUCUUUUGACAAACUAUUACUAAAACUUAUUUCAAAAAUACUAUCCAAAUCAUUCCUUUUGAGACAGGAUUCCAUUUCUGCUACUCAUUCAGUUAUUUCUUCAUACUCCUAUCGUUUCUGGAAAAAAAAAUUCAGUUAUUUCUUCAUAGUUUUAAGAGUGUACAAAAUUUUAAAUAUUUUACCAGUAACAAAUUCCUUGUUUAUCAGGGCAAAUUGAAAAAUAAUUUACGCACCUUCACAAAUAAUUUUUUCAUUCCCUAUUUGAAUUUCUCGGCCUUCUUGGCUUAUGGCUCAAUUAUUGACGGAAUCUUUUUCUCUGAUCAUUGUCUAACACAAAUAAUCUGACAGGAUUUUUCAUACCCCUGUCCAACUAAGAUCAAUUUUUCUUUAAUUGUCAACAACUGAUUGAGGAUCCCAAGACUAACCUUUUCUUUAGUGGUCCAAUUCUCCGAUACGUGAGUAUUCUAUCACAAAAUGGAUUGGAAUGAAUUUGUUAGCAUAAAAAAUAUGUAUCAAAAGACAUUGUAAUUUUUCAAAGAAAAACAAGAAUGAUUAAGAUAGAGGGGAUAGAUUUGCCCAAACAUAGUCGCUUGGGGGGAGUGCCUAUAGAAACAGUUUAGGGGUAAACUAUAACUAGAUAUAUAGUUUACGGUGGUUUAUUUUUUUUGCAUUUAAUCCAUUUUAUUAGACAAAAUACACGACAUCUGCAAGGAAUUCCAAACUGUAAGGAGUUUUAACUCAAAAUCCAUUACCAUGAAAUGUCCAAACAGCAAUGGAUUUCCUGCUGAAAACCCAUUUACCAUAAUUUAUUCAAUAGCAGGAGAUAACAUAUUUUACACUAGAACCACGCUUCCAUUUAUUUAUGUUACGGCAAGAACAAUUUGCUAAUUGUUCCCUCAGAUGCUGGCAGCAUUUUAGCUUGGAGCUUUAGCAUGAUUCAGCAGCUACCACGACACAAAUCCCCAGGCCAUGUACAGACACGGUCAGCCGGGACAACAGCCCUCUUGAUUACCCUCGCAGGAUUCUAAGAUCCCUGUGACGGUAACUUUUCCAGCCCCAAGCAUUUUUAUAAGCUGUCCUCCAAUUGGCAGCAUUUUUCUUGAUGCAAUUUUGACAGCAUUGGUAGUUUCUGUAGCUUCAACUUUCCCCAACACCACACCGGCAGAAGAAAUUUUAAUAAAACUCUUAGCGGUAAAUUAGGUAUUAAUGGACCAACUGAGUUCUACUAGUAAUUAAUACUCUAAUUGAAAAAGUGGUAAACCAUACGAGGGUAAAGUGUAUUAACAUGUCUCUUAACAAAUAAAAAGUAACUAGAAGCUAACUUCCACUAUUGAUCAUUCUUGUGAAGAAAAAAACUUGACAUUUGUUACCAAGUUUUUCUCUAAAUCUUUUUGUAUUUUAGAGGUGAUUUGCCGUAAUCCUAUAACAAAUACUUUGUGUAUUACGGGCAAAUAACAUGUUAAGGAUAGUGUUAAACACACCUUAAAAUCAUCAUUUGCAUCUCUCACUUUCCUAGUGAAAAUUAUGUACUAUAAAUUUCUACACUAUAUAUAGACACAAACACAUAUAUCCCUUUCGUUCCAUUAAAAUUAUCAUAUUUUUCUUUUUGAGUUAUCCCAAAAUAUAUAUCACGUGCCUAAAAUAACAAAUGAAUAUUUCUUCUUAUUCUAAUUUUACCCUUCAAGCACUACCUUUUUUAAAUACGUGGGUUCAAUACAAGUUUUCUCAACAAUGAGAUAUAGAGAGUUGUCACGCACUAUCUUUGAAGUGCGUGACUGGCACUGGUAAUUGUUUGCUAGCGCAUGCAGUACACAGUAAGCAAAGAGUUGGUGUGGCUUUAAUUAAAUGGUGGGCCUUGAUUGUUGACUUGUUUGCAGAGGCAACUUAACACACAACUUUAGGUAAAAUUUAGGCAACUCAGCAGGAACAAUUUAGAACCACCAGCCCAAACCAGCCUUUGGGCUGGUGGCCACCACCUAGUUGAUGGGGUGGGAGACAAGGGUUUAUUUAAGUGGCUUGUUUCUAAAAAAUUUAGGUAGAUCUGCUGUGCACCCGUCUGGUCCGGUAAUGGUUCAGUCCCCUUCGAGUUACCCCUGAGUCUCCUUAGAUCCGCCUCCUCCCCCUUAGUGUAGGAUAGAUUAGGUUUAUCGUUUCCGAAAAAAAAUAAGAACAAUUUAGGAAGUACAAAUGGCCAUCUCUUCUUUCUGUCUACCAUUCAAAGAAACUUCAGCUCUCAAAAAGUGACAAACUUUUUCCGGACCGAGGUAGUAUAUAUUUGUCUGUAAUGGUUGAUAGUGAAACUUUCUUUGUAAGUUAUAAUUGGUACAAAAUUUUAUAGUUUCGUUAUGGUAUGGUUAUAUUGAAUUAACUGUAAGUUACCUUAAUGGUGUGUAAAAUUUUUCGUAAUUGUAAUCUUCUUCUACUUGUUGUAAUUUUCAUGAAAAUAAGAAAGUGGUCGUGUAUUAAGUGUGUUGUAUUAUAAGUUCUCUUGUAAUUUUGAAAUGAAUGUGUGAGUUGAAAUCUUGACUGUACUAAUUGCAUCUUCUACUGUAUCUUAAAGUUCACGUGUGUUCAAGCUUUUGGAUAAUUAAGAUCAUUAACUAUUAUCAUCAGAUUAGCACAAUGUAAGGUUAAAAACAGAUUGUAUGAAAACUUCUUAAUGCCAUUAACCCGCAAACUUUGCUUCAAUACGUAAUGAUUUGUAAUUAGGGUAAAGAAAUUCAGGAAGCCACUAGGCUGUUUUCUUUAUAAAGUUUUGGACGUUUUGCUCAAUUGACUAUUAAAAGCUUCAUUUUUUUUUGUAAGUGAGAGAGCUCAAAUUCAGGAUGUCUCGCUUACAUUUCCUCCCCCUCUUCCGAACCACCCAACCUAUCUCUUCCUCCAAAAGUUUCAAAUAACUCACUAAAAUUCUAACUGUGGAAAAUAAUGGCCAAUCAGUAAUGUUUCUUAAUUCCAUAAAGUUUAUGUGCAUUUGUAUCCAUACCUACUAGUAUUUUAUAGAAGAAAAAAUUUUAAAACACCAAAUAACUUUAUCAUGUUUUUUAUUUUAUGUUUCCUAAUCAACACCUACUUUUACUCUAUACACACCUGCUGGCGAAAUUUUUUUCAAAAAAAGUCUGAAUAUUUAGAAUGCAAAUCAAGAAAUUUGAUCCCUUGACCUACAUCCAAAUAGAGUUUUAAAACUCUCUUAGUGACCAACUACCUGAAUUCACUGUUAUAUAUGGUGAUUGGUGGAUUUAUUUCCUUUGAUAUGUUUAUUGAUCAUAUGGGCAAUGGUGUCCCCAUACUCAACCCAAUAAAAAAAACUUACUGAGUAGAAAAAUAUUUACCGGCCAAAUUGUAUAGAAUGGCUGAUUUAGACAAAAUAAGUAGUUGAGUGAAUCAUUCGAAAGUCCAAUGGAUUGAGUGGCCAAGAGUUUACCAUCGUAAUAGUUUGGUGACCAGCACACCUGAAGAGCAGGAGCAAACACCAAGUAGCCCAACAUAGGGCAACUGAACAAGCAUCAAAAGCAGUAAAUUAGCAAAUACCUAUUAGUAGACCAUAAUCAAAAUUGCCUAAUAUUGAUUAUAUGUUUAUAGUCACAUAACACUAGACUAGAAGUCCAAAACAUACAAUAACCUAUUCAAAGCAGGAUAUAAAACUAUAGUAACUCCACAAGGAGUUCUACUGAUACCAGACAAAUAAAAUAGUAUCUACAAAAAGUCAUUCCUGACAAAAUCUCUCCCCAAUGACAUAAUGCUUGAAAUUGUAAGCAAGCUACAGCUCACAUCCAACCUACAUAUACGUGUUUUGGGAAGAAAGAAAAGACUAGGCAGAGAGUUCAACUUAACUUCUUUGGUCAUACAAUCAGAGCUGCACUUCUCUGUCAUAUAUCCAGCUAAAGGGUAUGCAGGGUCCUUGUUUGGCUCUCGCUUGAGCUCUCUCCUCUAGCUUUCUGAUUCUAGCAAGCAACCACAGACAUAAUCUUGAGCUUUGCGACCCUCAGCAGAUAGUCCAGUCAGAUCUCCCACUUUCCAUCUGCCAACCAAAAACUCCAGUAUAUCUGCAUAGUCCUUGGCUGUGUAAACACCAAGGCGUUGUGCAACAGUUGAGAAGUGCUCAAAAAGGUCAUCAUCGCAUCCAUCAUACAUCAAAUGAGCUGGCAUAGAAAUUUUUUUCCUCAUCAUGUCAGCAAAUGCUAGCACAGUCCCAUUAGGGUCAAUCUCAUAUAGCUUCUCAACAAUCUUGGUGUAGGCAGUUUCAUGACGCUUUUCAUCCUCGGCAAUUGUACCACAGAUCUGAGCCAACUUGAUGUCCCCAUGUUCCUUGGCUAGUCGGGCUGUGUUCCUAUGGGAAAUAAAAGUUGCCCUCGAUCCUUAUUUCUUAAUGCUCUUGAGUUCCAUACCUCCUUUUAGUUUCUUGAACAUUGGAAUGAAUCAAUGGGGUCAUCAAUCAAGUAAUUGUAAAGCUUUAAUUUGACUCUGGAGCUCUUCCUUUAUGCUUUUUUUUUCUUGAUUAGACUUAGAGUCUCACUUGAGGAAUUGAAAUAUGAAGAAGUGCUGAGCUUCCUCGGACCGAGCUGACCUGAUGAGCUGAGCGUGUCCCAAGCCUGCAAAGCAAACAAGAGAGUGGCCUAAUAGGGGAGUCCCAAGGUUGUUCCCGAGGGCACUCCGUCGGUCAAGUUAGUUUUCCGGUGAGUGAAGUUCACGGGAAGUAAAGCAGUCGGGCGUAAUUGGCCAAUAGUGAGCGUACCUUGCGUAGUUGGUGUGCGUUACCAUUUAUACCUGCUCGAGAGUCCGACCUCCGUACGUUUCAGAACUUACCUGGCAUAGCCUCAAUCUCGCGUUGAGGGGGAUUCUCCCCGCCCUCUGCGGGACGGUUUCCAGGGGCCUUUCGGAGCCCUAGUGGCGGUGUGCCCCAGAACGGUUGUCAGGGUCUGCGGUCCAAGCCCAGCUCUGCCCUUCCUGGGCUGCCACGUGUCCAGGCCCAGGACAGGGCCUCUGCACUAGCCCCCUAGAUUAGGUAGGCUUCCAAGUAGACCUAAUCUAUACCCUUGCCACGUGGGAGCCCCAGCGUCGCACUGCUCUGCCAUGGUCACCUCCGGUACAGUGCUGUUACUGAAAAGCUACGCCCAUGUUCUUUCAGUUGUCGCGUCCCUUCGGUCUCCGUACCGCUCUUAAAUGCGUUCACAUGGGACAGUUCAAAUUCAAACAACUGUUUCCCCCCAUUUCACCCCCUAUAAAUAGGGGUUACCAGAUUUCAUCCGACUCUAUUUGCCAUUUUCCUCUCCUCGUGCAUUUUCAAUUUCCAGCAACAAGACUUUCGGCUCUCAGUGCCUAGAUUUCGGCGAUUUCUCCAUCUUUUCUUACUCCAUUUAUCAGUAAGUCAUUUUCCCUCUUCCUUCGCACUUUUUCCUUUCCUUCGUCACUUUCUGCUUUUUAUGUCGGAUCGGUCCGGCGUUACCUCCACCGCCUCUCAGAUUUCAGCCCAUCGUAGAGCCCUUAGCAUCCUUAUUUCUUCCUCAUCUUCAUCCUCAUCUUCAUCUUCAUCUCCCCCUCCUCCUCUUUCUUCCUCUUCUGCUUCCAAUCCCAGUUUCCAUAUCCUUGACUUGCUCGAGCCCAUAGUCAUCAUGAGUUCUCCAUUUGUCCAUUCUCCUUCUGCCCGAAUCUUAGAGGACGUGGUCGAGCUCGAUGCCCUCAUCGAGCAGCAAGCCACUUCUGUUCCCUCCCCCAAGUCUCCACGUGACUCUCCCGGCGGAGCCCAGGGGGGAGCUGGGGAGGACAGGGACUCCUCCGAGGGAACCCCUGCUUCCGAGCAGGGGGAUGAUCCUGGAUUCGACUUCGGUUAUCCCGACCAGCAAGAGGUCACCCUCUCACCCGAGGUAGUGGUCGAGCUGGCCGGGUCUUUCUUCAUUCCUCCGGCCUUCGAGCCGCGGGCUGCCUGGCCCAAUGACCUAGCCAGCCGACCUCCCCCUGGCUUUGUAGCCAUCUACAGAGAGCAACUGCUCGCGGGGCUCCGACUCUCAAUUCCUCCAACCCUGGCUGAGAUCCUGAGCUACUGGGGGCUCAGAAUCACCCAAGUCCAUUCCAAUUCGAUCAGGAUCAUCAUUGGGCUCCUACACCCUCAAGUUCUCCCUUCCUGGGUGGUACUAUUUCUCCCGCCGAGGUACUAGCAAAGUUCGGGGGGGAAAGGGCACCCAAGAUCUGCUUUUCGGGGUCCCUUCUUCCGUAAAAAACUGGAAGGGGGACUUUUUCUUUGUCAAAUCCACGAGCUUUCUGCCUAAUGUAUGGAAGGUCGGGGAGGUCGACUCCGAUCCCUUCCGGAGGACUUGGAUUCCGAAUCCCUCAACCAGCUGGUGAGCUCCAAGGUGAAGUUCUACGCGGCCAGGUUUUCCACUGAGCAGAUAUCUGUGGCCGGGCUGAUGGGGACGUUGUCCGGGUCCCCUGGAGAAGUGAAGCCCUCCCACACCGACUACGACACUUGUAAUGCCGCCCCUAGGCUCCUGCAGUCUAUUGCUUCAUUCUGUCUUUUAUUGACCUGCAUUUACUAACUUGGUAGUGUUUGCUAUAUUAAAGAGGCUCUCCAAACUGUUGGGCACGCCCUCCGAGCAGGUCGCCCCCACCCCGCAACCGGAGGCAGUCAAGACGGCCUCCGCAGCAUCUCCGACCCCAGGGGGCAGCUCAGCCCCUCCAAAAGAAACGCCCCACUCUUCAUCCCCCUCCAAACAGGUCGCCAGUAAAAAGAAAGCGACCGGACAAAAGAGGGGUCGAGGGGACGAGCCCUCCCAACCCGGGAAGAAGCUCACGCCAGCUCCAGCACAACCCCCUCCUCUGCUAACGUCCAGGGGCGUCCCCCACGAGGGUCCAGUCCACCUAGGGGUUGGCUUCGCGGAGGAGCACGCAUGGGAGCUGCCUCCCCCCAGCCUAUGGCACAUCCGCCAAGUGGCUCCAGUGAAGCCGGGCCAGGCCCCCACUAUACACGACCCCCGUCGUUUCUGCCCAUCCUGGGGGCUCUCUAUCAACGAUCGAACCCAAUUCCUGGAGGUGGCUCGCGAGCUGAUUGCGGGCUUGGUCCUCCCGCGAGAUAGGAAGUGGAUGGAGCUGGCCACCCCGUCCGAGCUCCAGGACAUGUACUAUACUGCCCAGACUCAAGUAGGUCUCCUUUCAUUUAGGUCGCUUGCAUCUCCAUUCCUUCCUUACAUGGAGUCAGUAGCACGGUAAUUUUUCUUUCCAUUGCUCAGGCCGAUGCGGCUGGAAUUGCCCUGGUGACCCGCUUCUCUGAACUGUCUCCCGACUUGGAGAAAUUGAAAAAGAAAAAUCGGGAGACAGAGCAGAGGCUUGCCCAGACCCUUAAGGAGGCGGACUCCUUAAAGGCCCGGGUGGGCGAGGCAUACAAAGGGCUGGAAGGGCCCAAGUCCAGCUUGCCUCCACCCGGUCGGAGCUGGAUCAGGUGAAGGGUCUCAACCUGCCUGGCUUCAAUUUGGCUGACUUCAAGGACUACAAUCCCCCGGCCGAGGAGAAGCUGGACUGGCUUUUCGACGGGUAUUGCAAGGGGCAUGUCCUGAAAGACCUGGUAGGCAGAAGUGAUGUGGGAGCCGACCUGACGGAGGUUCCCUUGGUGGAGGACGGGGCUCCGAGCAGAGCUUCCGGGAAGGAGCCGGUGGCCUAGGCGACUUAAGGGUCUCUCGGGAGUUGAGUUGUACAUCUUUUCUCUUUUUUCUUUUUAUCUAGCUCGGUAGGCUUUGUAAUAGGUAGGUUUCGAAUGUACAUACAAAAUUCGAACGAGAUUACCUAAUUUCUGGCUUCCAAGUUUCGCAUGAAAUCCGAACCCUAACAGUCGAAAUGGCAUGCCGACCGCCUGGGUUCAAACCGAUUUACUAAAGCAGCCAUGCCGACCGCCUGGGUCGAGCACCUGUCAAACUAUAAGUCAACAAUUGAAUCAAACUAAACUAACAAUCGAAUUCCGGCAACCUAAGCGGCGUGCCAACCUCCUGGGCCGAACAUCAAUCCUUAAGGUUUUUAAGUCUUGCCGACCUCCUGGGUCGAGCACCAAAUAGAUCUAUCAAGGUCGCACGCCGACCUCCUGAGCCGAGCAUCUAUCAAGCUUUAAGCAAAGCGACGUGCCGACCUCUGGGGCCGAACACCAGACUUUCAAGUUUUGAGCCGUGCCGAUCUCCUAGGCCGAGCAUCUAUCAAACUUUAAGCAAAGCGACAUGCCGACCUCUGGAGCCGAACACCAGACUUUCAAGUUUUGAUCCGUGCCGACCUCCUGGGUCGAACGUCGAACUCCCGGAUUUUAUCAAACUGCAUCAAAAUAGUUUAUGACGUGUCGGCCUCUGGGGCCGAACACCAGACUUUAAAGCUUUAAGCCAUGCCAACCUCCUGGGUCGAGCAUCCACUCUCAAACUUUAAAAGCAUUCCAUCCAUUACCAUUACCAUCCAUCACCCAGCCCCCCACUAGGACACUUAGCACUGUCUGAGUGUGCUAGUGUAGGACCUAAACUUAAAAGUUAAACGGUGUUGGUAAAAGGAAGGUUAAAAGUCUGACAUUUAUUCAAUGAUGAACUUGUACACGAAUUCUGAAGAAUAGACAGUAAGAUACCCUGGCCCAAUCUAACCCACGAACAAUCGCAAGUUCGAGAAGUGCCAAGUGCGAGGUAUUUCCACUCCAUCUAAUUUCGCAAGGUUGCAGUAGCUAGCUCGGCUCGUUUCCAGGACUUUGUACGGUCCCUCCCAGUUCGGAUCAAGUUUGUUGGAACUAUGGGACCGACUAAUUGAAUUCUUUCUUAGGACGAGGUCUCCCGGCCGGUACUGCAUCUCCCUCACCUUUGCGUUAUGAUAGCGGGCGAGCUGACCUUUGUACUUAACCAUCCGUAUCGCCGCUUCUUCGCGUUUGGCUUCCAGCAUGUCCAAGUUACACCGCAGUUCUUCCUCGUUGGCCGUCGCAACGAAGUUCUGCGUCCGAAGCGAGGGGAGGCCGAUCUCUGCGGGUAUCACCGCUUCUGCCCCAUAAGUCAGGGAGAAUGGGGUCUCGUGAGUGGCCGUCUUUGGCGUAGUGCGGUAAGCCCAGAGGAUACUAGAGAGUUCAUCUAGCCAGUUGGACUGGGCCAGUUCCAACCUAGUCUUUAGUCCUUGCAGAAUGGUUCGGUUAACGUUUUUCACCUGGCCAUUGGCCUGGGGGUGGCUGACCGAUGUGAAAUGUUGGUUAAUCCCCAACUCGGCGCACCAGCUCCUGAAGGGGUUUUCAGCGAACUAUCGUCCAUUGUCGAAUAUCAGAACACGCGAAAUCCGAAGCGGCAAACUAUGCUCUUCCAAAAGAAUUUCUAAACUGUUUUCCCCGAGAUAGUAGCCAGAGGCUCCGCUUCCAUCCACUUGGUGAAGUAAUCAAUGGCCACCACGAGAUACUCGUAUCUCCCAGGGACUCGAGGAAAAGGCCCCAGAAGGUCUAUUUCUCACUAGGCAAAGGGCCAAGGACUAUGGAUGGGGAUCAUCUCCCGAGGUGGCUGGUGGCGCAGCGGGGCGUGCACCUGGCAAGUUUGACAUUUUUGAGCUAGUGCCGCGGCGUUCCGAAACACUGAAGGCCAAUAGUAGCCUAGGAGCAGACACUUCUUGGCCAACACCCGGGACCCCACAUGUGCUGCGCAUAAGCCUUCGUGAACUUCACGGAGGACGUAGUCGCCCUCUUCAGGAGUCACGCACUUUAGCAGGGGUACAAAUACGACCUCCUAUAGAGGGUCCUCCCACCGUAGGCGUACUUAGCAGCUCUGAGUUGGAGUCGGCGAAUCUUGAUUUUGUUCUCAGGGAGGGCACCCGAGCUGAGAAAGUCCGCGAGGGGAGUCAUCCAGAGGCCGGGCUGUCUAUAGCCAAGACCUGGACCCGGUCAACGCUUUUAUGCUUGACUACCUCCACCAACACUCCCUUGCUCAGGUGAGCGAACGAGGAGGACGCCAGUUUUGACAGGGCGUUCGCACGCUUGUUCUGUGACCUCGGUAUCCGCUCGAUUUCAAAAGUUUCGAACAGGGCUAUCGCCUCCCGUACCUUAGCAAAGUACUUCUUCAUGACGUCCUCCUUGGCCUCGUACUCCCCGCGGACUUGGUGGACUACGAGUUACGAGUCGCUCUCGACUUUGAUCGCGGUUAUACCCAUCUGGUGGGCUAUCCGUAGUCCCGUCAAUAGGGUCUCAUACUCGGUCUCAUUGUUGGAUGCCGGGAAGUCAAAUCUGAGCGUGUAGGUCAGCUCUUCCCUGGUGGGCGAGGCGAGCAGCAGGCCGGCUCCGCUUCACUCCUUACUCGAGACCCCGUCCACGAAUAAUUCCCACGGCUCUUCCGGUCGUACGUCCUUGGGCAAAGAGAUCGGCUCAGCCAUGGACAAACUCGCCCCCUCAGUAAGGAAGUCUGCCAAAACCUGAGCUUUGAUAGUAGUACGAGGCUGGUAGCCGAUGUCGUGCUCGGCCAGCUCGACGGCCCACUUGGUCAUCCUGUCCGAGACCUCACGUUUUGUGAGUAUCUGUCGUAAGGGCUGAUCAGUCAUGACUACAAUGCUGUGGGUCUGGAAGUAAGGUCGGAACUUCCGGGCGGCGUGUACCAGGGCAAGAACCAAUUUUUCCGUCGGCGUGUACCGCGUCUCCGGCCCCUGUAAAGCCCGGCUAACAUAGUAUAUGGACCUCUGAGCCCCCCUGUCCUCCCGCACCAAAAUCGAGCUAACGGUCUCGUUGCAAGCAGAUAAGUAUAGGAACAGGGUAUCUCCCUGUUCCGGGGCGGUCAGAGCAGGCAGUUCAGCCAGGUGUGCUUUUAGGAUCCGAAAGAAGGGUAACCCCCUCACCGCGGAGCGCGAGAGGAAUCUAUUCAGGGCGGUCAUCUUUCCCGUAAGCCGUUGGACCUCCUUGACGUUUCUCGGAAGGGCUAUAUCCACGAUGGUCCGGAACUUAUCCGGGUUGACCCGAAUCCCCUCUCGGGAGAUCGGGAAGUCCAGGAACUUUCCCGACCUAACCCCGAAAGUACAUUUCUUCGGGUUCAACCGAAUCCGGCUCUCCCAUAGAAUGUUCAGGAUUUCACUCAGGUCGGGAACGAGCUGCUGGUCGGUUCAGCUCUUGACGAUCAUGUCGUCCACGUAGACCUCCAUACUCCUGCCGAUCUGAACCUGGAAGAGUUUGUUGACCAAGCGCUGGUAGGUAGCUCCAGCGUUUUUCAAUCCAAACGGCAUUGUCCGGUAACAGUAUGUCCCUUCCUCAGUGAUGAAGGAAGUCUUUUCCCGAUCUUUCUCGGCCAUUUCUAUCUGGUGGUAUCACUUGAAAGCAUCCAAGAAGUACAAAACGUCAAAACCCACAGUAGAGUCUACUAACCUGUCGAUCCUUAGCAAGGGGAAGCAAUCCUUUAGGCAGGCCUUGUUAAGAUCUAUGAAGUCCACGCACAUCCUCUAGGACUGGUCCUCCUUCUUCACCAGGAUCGGGUUGGCUAGUCAGGUCGGGUAGUAUACCUUCAGGAUAAUCCUGGAUUCCAACAGCUUGCCGACCUCCUUCUUGAUCACCUCAUUCCUUUCUGGGGUGAAACUUCUCUUCUUCUGAUUCACUAGCUUGAAGCAGGGAUCUACGUUAAGGUGAUGGACGGCCAGAUCAGUUGGAAUCCCGGGCAUGUCCUCCACCGUCCACGCGAAGACCUGGGAGUAUUCCCAUAACAGGGCCUUCAAACCCUCCUUCUCCUCAAAAUGUAGCGAUGCGCCAAUACGAAGGACCUAGUCAGGCCUAUCUUCCCUCAGGGGGAACUCCUCGACCUCGUCUUGGGUACUCAACUGCCGGGUCUCCUCCCCUGGAAUGUAAGGCACCAAGGUGGUCGUCUGGGCGACCACCUCUCCUGUCCCCGAAGUAUGGCCAAGUAGCAAGCUCUGACCACUUUUGGAUCGCCACGUACCUCGGCUAUUCCUCCCGGAGUGGGGAAUUUGACGCUGAGGUGGAGCGAAAAGGGAAUAGCUCGGAGGGCGUUCAAAGCAGGCCGACCCAGGAACACGUUGUACGGCGAUUGUUGUUUGACUACCACGAAAUUGACAGGGAUGGUCCGGCAUUUGGGAGCCUGCCCUACCGUGACCAUCAGGGUGAUCAUUCCCUUCGGGUUGACGGGUGGUCCGGUGAAACCCACCAGGGGUGUCCGAACUGGAGUCAAUUGUCUGUCCUCCAGGCCGAGCUCUUUGAACACCCGGUGGAACAGGAUGUCCACCGCACUCCCUUGGUCGACGUACAUUUUUUUCACCCGAUAGUUACUGGUAACGACGUCUAUCACGACAGGCUCGUGGUUCCCGGACGCCAGGGGAACCGCAUCCCUGGACCCGAAGGUGAUCUCCUCGUCCAUGCGCAAGCGAUUCAGGGAGUCAUCCCCCUCGGGGGGAGGUCGCCUGUUUUUUCCGAGCUGUGUGGCUAUCCCCCCCGUGGAAUCCCCACCGAUAGUAUUUAUCACCCCCGUUAGAUUCUGGGUGUUCUGGUCGGGGGAGCUAUCCCGAGGAGCGUCACGCCCAUCAGAGCGAUCGCGACGCUGGCUCUUGCCCCUGUCUCCGCGGUAGGUGCGUCCCGACUCCGGGCCUGGCCGACCUUGCCGCACGAAUCGUCCCAGGAAACCGCGCUGAAUCAGAUCCUCGAUCUCUCUCCGCAGGGUCCAGCACCCCUCUGUAUCAUGCCAACGUCCCGGUGGAAGGCACAGUACCGGUCCUGGUUUCGUUUGUUCCGAGGCGUCCCCAUCUUAGGCGGCCGUUCUCCCAGGCCCUCCGCCUCCGUGACGACUAGGAUCUGGAUUCGGGGCCGAGUCAGGAGGGUUAAGCCUUUUUCCGGAGGCAUUGGCGGAGCUGGGGGUUUCUCCUUCGAAAGCCAGUCAAAGACGUUUUUCUUGGUCGGGCCAUCCUUGCUCUCAGGUGGAUUUCCCCGUCCUCUCCGAACUCUGAGCUCCCGAUCUGACUUUCUCUUCAAGCGGGCCGCCUCCUCAGCAUUAGCGGCAGCGUGCGCCUUGGUCCAGAACUCCUCCAGGUCUCUGGGAGGCUUCUCGGCCAGCUUGUAGAAGAGCUCCUCUGCCCUGAACCCGUUCAUGAAGGCGGUCAUGACCACCUUUUCGUCCAUGUCCCUCAUCUGCAGGCUUUUCGUGUUGAAGCGGGUCAUGAAAUUCCUCAGUGACUCCUCUGGCUUCUGCCUGAUCGCCAUUAGGUGAGUCGCGUUCUUCGAAUAAGUUUUCGAAAAUACGAACUGGGCGACGAACUGCCUAGCCAGUUCGGAGAAGCUUCGGAUGGACCCCGGUGCCAGGUCCUGGAACCAGAGCCGAGCCUUUCCCUUCAGGAACAUGAGAAAGGUUUUGCAGCGGAUCUCAUCCGCAGCGGUUUGGAGAUGCAUGUGCGUCAGGAAGACCGAGAGGUGGUCUUACGGGCCUGUCGAAGCAUCAUAUAGCUCUAUGUUCGGGAUCUUGAAUCUCCGGGGUAACGGGUAGUCCUCUAUUCCCCGGGUAAAGGGCGAGAUUGUGUAGUUGUCCUCGUACAACUGCGGCUGCAAGAUCUGCUCGAGUUCGUCUCGAACAGGCUUUCACGGGGGAAGGUUGCGCGGCCGGCUCUUGAUAGAUCGGUCGGGGGAGCGUUCAGGCUGGUUCCGCGUAGGCUUCUGCGGGGAGGGGUUUAUCGGUCUGCUCCCCGCAGAUCGGUCGCGGGAGUACCUCUCGCUAUCCCCGACCAUCGAGGCUCGGGAGCGAGGGGGAGUCCGUGGCCGUUUCCUUCUGCGGGGCUGGUCCUGUGACUCAUCCUCCGAGGGGUCAGGGGGUGAUUCUUUCUCCUUCCCCUUCGUCUUGUAGGUCUGCGCGACCCCGGCUUCGCCCCCCCUCCUUCGCCUGCCGGAUGAUGUCUUCCAGCAUGGGGAGGUUCUCCGACACAAACUAAAGGAUCUGUUGUCUCCAUUCCCCUGAAAGGGUUGAGCCCCCGGCAUCCCGAUCUGCCUCGGUCUCCCUUCGCCGGGACCCCUCGCCAGCUCCAGGAUCGGUGUUCUCUACGGUCCGCUUGGAACGCGUUCUCGCCAUCAGCACGACUUCGACUACCUUUCGUUUCCCACAGACGGCGCCAACUGAAGAAGCGUUGAGCUUCCCCGGACCGAACUGACCUGAUGAGUUCGGCGUGUUGAGGAGGAGAGCGUGUCCCAAGCCUGCAAAGCAAACAAGAGAGUGGCCUAAUAGGGGAGCCCCGAGGUUGUCCCCGAGAGCACUCCGACGGUCAAGUUAGUUUUCUGGUGAGUGAAGUUCACGGAAAGUAAAACAGUCGGGCGUAAUUGGCCAAUAGUGAGCGUACCUUGCGUAGUUGGUGUGCGUUACCAUUUAUACCUGCUCUAGAGUCCGACCUCCGUACGUUUCGGGAUUUACCCGGUAUAGUCUCAAUCUCGCGCUGAAGGGGAUUCUCCCCGCCCUCUGCGGGACGGUUCUCUGGAGCCAUUCGGAGCCCUAGUGGUAGUGUGUCCCAGGACGGUUGUCAGGGGCUUAAGAUCCAAACCCAACUCUGCCCUUCCUGGGCUGCCAUGUGUCCAGGCCCAGAACGGGGCCUCUACAAAGUACAAAUCUUUUUGUCUUUCAUUCUUUUACUUGUAUAUUUUUUGUGGAGCUCUAACUUCCUAUGCAUACAAAUAUCUCUAGUGCCUGAAAAAAAAAAGACCUUUUCAUUUACACGGCAAUAGGCCCAAAAGCCAGUCUCUCCUAAAAACAAAAAACAAAAACAAAAAGACACUUCAUCCCAUGUAGAUCAGUUGCACUUUGCUCUCUGAUCAAACAAAUUAUGUUAAGACAUGAAUGAUUCAGAAUACAUUUUGGCUGGAUUUGUAAGGGUAAACUCUGUGUUAUUUUGUAUUAAACAAAAGUUCUCAUGGUUAAUUAUUUAUUUGGAGCUAACAACGGCGUGUUCCUCCCUUGUCAAUAAUACUGUCAAAAGCCAAUAAAUAGAACAAAUAAACUGAUAAAUUUACCCUCUACUCAGGCGAAUUUCUUAGUAUAUUGUCGAUUUUGAAAAAGUUUACAAAAUUGGGGGUAUUCGGGGUGUAGUGUUGGGUAAGGGGUCGCCGCAAAUGGGAUUUGAGUCUACUGAUAAAAAUUCUUUUAAUUUUCAUUUAUUUUACUGUCAUGUUUUUGGGUCAGUUUUUUGUAAAAAAAAAAAAAAAAAAAAACAUCUUGGCCGCGAAGGAAUGUUCCUAAUUGCAAUUGAGGCGGCGAAGCUUUUGUUUUUUGUUAUUUUUUUCCAUUUUUUUUGAAGCAUUCUUCCUACCUUUUUAUUAUUUCAUAUAUAAUUUUUAAUAAGUUAUUUAUUACUUCAUAUGUAAUUUUUAAUAAGUGUCGCCGCUCAUUCUAAUUUAUUUUUUUACUCCUAUCUGUUAUUAUUUCAUAUGUAAUUUUUAAUAAAUUACUUAACGUUUAAUAAAGGCAGCGCGACCAAGUUUUUCCCUGCCAUUUUUCAUAACCCUUAAAUAGGUGUAAUUAGAAUUUUACGUUUUACAUGAAAUACUAAUUUCAAAUUACAAUGUAAUACAUUUUAAAUUAAAAUUCUUAAAUCAUAUUACUAAAAUUCUAUUAUAAACCAAAAUUAUCAAAAAUUCAAAAUAUGAUAUUAGAAUAAUGAGAAAUUUAUAAAUUAACAUGAUAAUUGAAUAUGCUAUUAAAUUACUAAUAAAAUUUACUUAAGUCAUAUUUUUAAGUUUUAUAAUAUUAUUAUUGCAAUCAAUAAUGAUAAAUAAUACAAUAUUUACAGAAUGUAAUAAUUACUAUAUAAACUUAAAUAAUAAUAAAUUAGGCAUAAUUAGAGUUUAGAAUUUAAAUAAUUGGUAUGGUGUUAAAAAUAUUGUAAAAUUUACCUAAGUCAUAUUUUUAAAAUUUUUAAUGAUAAUGCUAAAUUGAAUAAUAAUAAAUAAUGCAACAUUAAACAAUAUUUAUAGAAUGUAAUAAUUAGCAAUAAAAUGAGUUUUGAUAAUUAUUUCACCCAUCAAUGCACCUCUUGCCCUUAUCUCGCAGAGUGGUAGAACAAUCACAUUUCUAAUGAAUUCUCUUAUGUGGUAGGUCUCGUCCUAAUUGUAAUCGUUCGGACCUCCGAGGUAGUGCAUGAACUUGUUCAGGUGUUUGAUCAUCGUCAUCAUCAACGGAGGGAUCGAAUACCGGAGUUUGACCGCAUCUAGGACAAGAACCAUGUAUAGACGCUUUAAAAGAAGCACUAAUGGGAACACUGUCGUCGUCCUUAUGCAAAGCAGGUGAGAAACCAGUCGAGAUCCCUAUAAAAUGGUGCAUUUGAUCAAGAUUAUCCUGAAACUGAAUUUCUGGACACAUCGUUAUAUCAAUCAUUGUAGACGACGAUGCAGCUGCAGACGUAUAACCAAAUACGGGUAUGGGAGUAGGUGUGUCACUGAAAUGACCUCCAAAAGCUGGCACAGUUGGAGGUGUGAAGAAAGCUUCAUUAUGAGAAAAGUGUAUGCCAACAGGUGGAUCGUAACCGGAUAGUGAUGAAGUCUGCAUUAUAUCUUCGUCCGGAACAUAAACAGCAUGCGUAGAGGUGCUUCCUCUGCGACGUCUAACUGCUUGUUUCCUACCACGGGCUUCCCUAGGUAGAUGCUCGACAGGCAUCUGAAAAGUGGCAGCAGAAGAGGCAGAUUGACUAAUAAAUUGACGAACAAAUGGACCAGCUACUGUUUUAUGUCCUAGAUUCAGGUAUUGUAAUGCGCCAAAUGCCUUCUCACGAAUGGCUAUUAGUCCCGGAUGAGCACACUGCGUUGGAUUUUCAGGAUCAAGAUACAUCUCACAGAUCGAACCAAUCCGAGACAUCGAAUCAACCUAAAAAAAAGAAAUUUGUAUAUUAUAGUCAUAUUAUAUGUUAAGAAAUAAACAUGCAAUGUGAUUUAAUUACAUAAAAAGAAAAAGGGUUUAAUAAUUUACCAAAUAGUCAAACUGUCCCCCAUCUGGCCGAUGAGUAUCAUCUACUGCUUGUCGUGAAACAGGAGGUGCUAUAUAGCGUACAGUAAUGUUCUGGUACCAUACAAUGUACUCAUCUGAAGGUAUUAAUGGAUCGCUGCGAUAUCCACUAACAACCGAUUGAGCAUGACGUUCCCAAUAUUGCACCCAAUGACUAUGGUACUGGGCCCAAUCCUUUCCGGAACAGUCUGAGUGACCUAAAGAAUGUAAUUUCUUAUCCGUGUUUGUAUCGACGGAGGCAGGUAUCGGUUGAAAUAACCCAAAUUGUCGUAGUACCCAUUAUGGAAAGUGAAAUUCCACAACCUCCCAAUAUAUCAAUGGAACUACUGACCGCCAUAUGUGCUGUCCGGCUGAGCAAUAAGCGGGGAGCUGUGCAAUAAGGUCGGUAGAAUAUGGCUCCCAGAUAAACUAUGACAAUAAAUUAGUUCAAGUAAGUGCGAUUAUAAAUACAUAUUCAGAGUUUGCUAUCAAAAUUGUAUAUUAGUUUGAGUACCUCGUCGGCUUCCAUCUUCAUGAGUGCAUCACAAAAUAAUGAGACGACAUGCGAUGGCACAUAUCUAGUUGUAUGUUCUCCUGCCCAACGACCACCUUUGGGAAAAUUAUCGCCUUGUACAGCAGGAAACAAAACGGUCGGACAAAUCCUGGGCAUCCUCUCCCAUGCCCAUAACUAUAAAAAAAUAUAAAAAUUUUCACUAAAAAAUCACUAUUAAAUGAAAUAUGGACGUGCAAUGAUUCCAAAAUUGGUACUGCAAAAGCAUGUGCGGGCCAGCUGUUCAGCUUGUGGUUGCGUAAGAUGCUUUACAGAGACGGGAAUAUAAACAGGCAAGUGUGGCGCUGCCCCAACUAAAAUUACUCAAAGCCUCUAGGUCUCGUAAGUAAUCCAACCAGUGGCAACUUACAACAUUUCCACACGUGUCGGCAAAUAAUUGCCCAGCAAAUAAGAUCAAAAUGUAGCAUCGAACAUGCUGUCGAACUAAUUCCUCCGGUGCAUCAUCUGGAAGAGGCUCGUAUAAAAAGUCAACUAUUGGAACAGGUUUCAACCUUCCAUUUUUAAAGUGUCGUGUCUCAGGUCUAAAACCUAGAAGCUCCUCGAUCAAUUGCUUCUUGUGUGCAACAUUUCUAUUUCGAUCAAUAAGUGUCACUGGUAAUCCGUCGACACGUAGACCCUAUAAUACCUACACGUCCUGUAAAGUGACUGUGGCCUCACCAAUAGGAAGAUGAAAUGUGUGGGUCUCCUGCCUCCAUCGCUCAAUAAGCGCUGUGAUCAAUUUCAAAAUACCCUGCCUGUACGAUCCCUCAAAAACCUAUUACACGAAGGUAAUUUGCUAUCCGAGGAUUCAACUGAUUUCGUACCAAAUCCCAAAAAAAACCAUCAGCUCGUUUUAUAUCGAGCUGACUCUCUUACCCUAAAAACACGGCCUUCGAUCGAUGUAUAUCCUGCAAAUAUAAUACGCCAUCUUUGUGCGGACCCUAUAUAGGAUCGAGCGUUUGUCUAGGCCAAUGUGACAUGUUUAGGAUAAUCUGCACAAUCAAAUAUUUAUUAAUAGUCAACACAUAGUCUCAAUUUUAUUAAAUUGUAUGUCAGCAAUAGACAUAUAGUCAAAAACUCCAGCAAAUAACUAACAUAAUACAUAAAUAACUACAACACAACCUUUAACUAAAUUUUCAUUCCAUUCAAGAUUUUACACAUGAAAAUGACUAGAAUAAGGGCAAUUGGAGGCGUUGUGGCCUGUCUGUGAACAGUGACUACAACGACGAGGCUCAUCGGGACAUCGACGAUCCAUUUGGUUAUAUAUUCUUGCAAUGGCCUUAGGAUCGGGUCUCUUUUGUUUAAUUCUUCCUACAUCAUAGUUAAGUCGCAACUCCGAAGAGAUCCAAUAAGCUGAAUCCGGUAGAGGUUGAAACUGUCCUUGAAGCGAAGAUUGCCAUGCUGAAAAUAUGUGCACGUGACCUACCAAAUGGUACGGAUUUGUACCCGACCUAUAACAAGCUGCAAAUACGUUCGAGCAUGGAAAUCUAAGCUCAGCCCACUUGCCACAUGUACAUGUGCCAUUCCCAAACUGAAUAAUCUGCGCAUUGCCACCUUUUCUAUUAUCACGUCGACCAAUAGUAACGGAAUAAAUUCCGCCUCUAUGAUCAUAUACUUGGACUGAGUGUGUCCUUGCUUUUAGUUCAUUUUCCAAAAAUGGCUUCCAUAUUUCUUUCGGAAAAGCAUACAUGGUGUUGAAGGCCAAUUUCCGCUUAGACAUAAAGAGUUCAACAAUUUGAUUAAAAGUGAAUUGUACGCAUGCUGUUAUUGGUAAUAAUCGAGCAUUGCGCAAUACAUUGUUGAAGCACUCAGCUACGUUCGUCGAUGUGUGGCCCCACUGAUAUCCCCCAUCCUUGCAUAAUGUCCACUGUUCCGGUUUCAUAGAACCACCAUUCAACCAUUUAUACGCCUCUUCAUUUAACAACCAUAUUUGUUCCAUAAAUGCCUCAUAUUUUUGGCUUGAUUUGCUGCACCGGCAGCCCACAUAAGAUCCUUCAAUCUGGACAAUGAUAAUUAAUCGAUGAUUAAACUCAUAUUUAGUAGGUAUUCAUGCUAUGUAUUCCGAAUGUAAUAUUCAAAAAUAUAUAUACCUUUGAUUUCGAAAUUUUUGGGUAAAGUUGCUCUGCACGUGUACUAAACAGUAUCGGUGCACGACCAACGGUUCUUUCCUCUCCGGUAAAGUAUUCAUAGCAUGUGUUAUGCCUUUGUGCCUAUCCGAAAUAACGCAGAUAUUUUCCACCUCACGGCACACAUGACGUCGCAAAUGCAACAUGAAUCAUGUCCAACUCCGAUUUGUCUCUUCGUCUACAAGUUCGAAUGCAAGUAGCCACUGCCGAUUGGAAGCAUCAAAACCAACAGCAACCAAUAAUUUUGCUUUGUAUGUACCCUUCAUAAAUGUGCCGUCAACACAAAUAACUGGCUUAAGGUGUCGAAAUGACUCGAUUACCGGUCCAAAUGCCUAAAACACGUAAUGAAAGAUGAUGCAUCCAGUACUACUUUGCGGAUGGUGCUCCCACUCAACAACUGUUCCAGGAUUGGCUUUAACCAAUUCCUGCAUGUACAUAAGGAGCGCAGCUAUAGAAGUUGGCCAAUCACCAUACACAAUAUCAAUCGCACGUUGCCUAGCAUACCAUGCUUUUUUGUACGAAACAUCCAUAUCAAAAGCACGUUUAAUGCUCGUUUGUAUUUCUUUGAUGGCAUAUAACGGACCAUUCUGGACGUGAUGUAUUAUGUACUCGGCUAUGAGUUCCGAACUCAACUGUCGGUGGUCAUUGGAAUUCGAAACUCACACAUACUUGUGUUCCUUCACAAAUGUUACAAUUUUCCACAUGUUAUGUGUGCAUCUUAGAGUGGCUCUUAGCUGCCAAUUGCAUGGAAGCGAAGCACUAUGGGACUUGCAGCGGACAUACCAAGUCAUCGAUUUACUUUCUCGCACUUUGAACUCUCUGUUGUGUUUGAUCGACCAAAGUUUGACAGCUCUCUGCACGUCGUUCUUUGUUUCAAAAACCAUUCCCAAUCUAAGCUCCUUUGUCCGCUCAUCCCACACAUUGUACUCCGCCGAAACUCCUUUCUUAAAUGGAUCAAAAUUCAGUGAGGCUUGCACACCUUCAAGAUCAUUUAGUUGGGCUGGUAUAUGAUAUGAGGUCGAUGGACCGACAGCCGAUUGAACCGGUGGAUUGUCAGAUUCUUCAUCUAUUUGAUCCUGCUCAUCAUCGUCCGAAUCAUCACCGUCUGGUUCUGGUUCCGUGUCUUGAUCAACAUUAACUCCUUCACUAUCUGGUAUGGUCGAUAGAAUUGUCGGAUUGAAAAUUUCCGUUUGAGGCAACUCAUCAAAAGAACGAUUUAUCAUCCUUGCACUUUGAGUUACCUCAGUACAAAACAUACUGUUUGACUCCUUUUCAAAAUCAUUCUCGAGUAAUGAUGUUUGUCCACCCUCAUGGUCACUUUGAAUAUGAUAGGUUCGUGGCUCUACUUCUAUAUAUAUCUCACAUGCCGUGUGUGGUGACAUCGACUUCAUAUGAUAUAGUGUAUCAAUGUCAUCCUCGCAUUCCAAUUGUACUCCAGCAAAUAUGUUUUGGCCAACAGCAUUUCUAAACCAUAGAUUCAACUUGCAAAUAUUCUGAUCUAAUUGCAUGUAGGUGUACACUCUAUCCACCAAUUCAUCAUAACUUAUUCGAUGUUUCACUAAAACAGCUUUUUUACACCAUGGAGGUUCAUAUGCGAAUGAUCCUCCGGUCUCGUUUAUUCUGCCUCCUCAAUAAAAUUGAAACACCAAUGCAAGAUCCAUCGACAUUUUUUCCUUAAUCUUACGAAUAUUUUUAUGUCAACUUAUUUCUUUUAACAACUUAUCAUAAUUACAAAUAUUAAUGCAAUAAACGUUUUCAUUGGUAAUAGCACCACUAAUAAAAUAAUCAUCAAUAUCAAAUAAAUAAAUAAAAAUAAAUUUAUCAAACAAAUAGUAUUAUUCACAUUAUUAGAGUAAUGAUUUUCUUUAAUUAAUCAUAAGUAUUAUUAGACCAUGCUUGUAGUACUGUAACUUAUAUUUUUAAAACUAUUAGUAUUACUUAUUGUUUAUUAUUCAUAUUAAUAUUACUAAACUAUAGAUUACUAGUACUGGUAUUAUUAAUGUAUCAAUUAAUAUCUCACUAUCUCAUAUUGUAUUAUUGUUAUUUUUACUAUAUAAUUUUAAACACUCAGUAUUUAUUAUUUAUUAUUUAUUAUUUAUUAUUUAUUACUUACUAUUUAUUAUUAACUAUUAACUAUUUAUCAUUUACCAUUUAUUAUUUACCGUUUACUAUUUACUAUUUACCCUUUACUAUUUACCAUUUACCAUUUACAUUAUCAGUUACUUUUUACUAUUUACUAUUUAUCAUUUACUAUUUACUACUUACCACUUAUUAUUUACAAUUUAUUAUUUAUUAUUUACUAUUUACUAUUUAACAUUUAUCAUUUAUCUUUUAUCACUUACUAUUAACUAUUUACUAUUUAACAUCUACCAUUAUUUACCUUUUAUUCAUCAUUCGCCUAAACGACUACUGCAUCGAUAAAAUUAAUUCUAAAAUCCGUCAAUAAAUAAUCUUUAAAAAACUUCUUUAGUAACCAUAAAGGCUAACCUUAUCAUUUGACUGUUAAAUAAUCUUAAAUGUAAAUAUUAAUUCACCUGCCAACGAUUAUUAAAUGUUAAAAACUAUCACCGUUUAUUCAUCUGACCUUUAAUAUCCAUAAAUAAUCAUUUAAUAAUAUAUCUUACUAUUAAUAUUCAUUAUUAAUUCACCUAAAAGACUUGUAGGCAAACCAUAAAUAAAUCAUAAAUAAAAGACUACUGCAAACCAUAAAUAAAAGACUACUGCAAACUAUAAAUAAAUAUCUCAUUCCAAAAUUAAAUAAAUGUAAAGUAUCAUAAUAUUUAGAACUUAACAUAACUGCAAAUAUAAUACAAAUAUUAUUAACAAAAUUAUUAAAUAAACUAACCUGGUCAGUGAUAUGUCGUUUCUUUACAAAAUUUCUUUCCGAUCCACCCCUCAAAUUGUAACGUUGCUUUCCUGAAUCAUCGUCUUAAUCGAUCAGUUAUUCUCGAAAAUUUAGGAGAAAUAUAAGAUGAGGACCACCAGAAAGGGAAAGCUAAGAAAAAUUUGUGAAAACGAUGAAGAAGAAGAUGAGGACCACACCAGAAAAAGAAAGAAAGCGAAGGAAGUGUGUUUUCUCAAGUGAAUAUAUAGAGAAGAGAGAAAUGUUAAGGUUGUCCGUAAAGAUGGGGCAGAAUAGCUAUUGUCGGCAAACAAAUAAUUGUAGUACUGCAUUGACUACAAAUUGUUUUUGACUAAAUACUUAACUUUGAUUAGUUUAGUUUAAAAAAAAAUUAGUGCAUGGCCGUUGGCCUUUUUUAUCCAAUGACAACCAUUGGAUAUGUUGGGUUGAUGGGGUUGACGGUGAAAAAACUGUCGCGGGUGAACAUUUCCCUUCCUGACCAUCAUGAACUCCAACGCCAAGCAUUUUUAUAAUCUGUCCUCCAAUUGGCAGCAUUUUUCUGGAUGCAGUUUUGACAGCAUUGGUGGUUUCUGUAGCUUCCCCAGCUUCAUCUUGCCCCAGCACCACACCUGCAAAAGAAAUUAAAAAAAAAUCUUAGAAGGAAAUUAGCUAGUAAUGGAUGGUAAUUGAGUUGUACUAGUAAUUAAUACUCUAAUUGAAUUUAAAGACAAACUAACAAUUCAAUUAGGUUAAAUGCAUUAAAUCUCCGUGAACUUUCACCUUAGUUGCACUUGACCCCCUAAACUUCUCUAAUAGGCACUUUUUGUGCCACCCAUCCCCCCAAAAAAAUGUCCUUGCAAUAAUUUUUUUACUCUCUCAUGAUACCAUUUCCUUCCUUUCAUAUUAGAUGAUACGAAUAAUUUGAAUACUAUAUGAAAUAUGCUUAGAGAGACAAAGAGAGAGAGACUAUUGUGUUAAUUAUGACUGUAUGCAAAUGAUAAAACAAAAUAAGUACGAGAGACUAACUAGAUGCAAGGAGCACAAGAACAACGAAGAAAGAAUAAUUAAAAGCCGUUUGAUGUGAGAUCCUGAGUGCAUAAACUUUUGCACACAUGCGUAUAUAUAUGGUGCUGAAUGAAACGGUAGAUGUAACCCCUUAGGGAGUGCCUAUAGAAACACUUUAGGAGUAAACUAUAAUUAGAUAUAUAGUUUGUGGGGUUUUUUUGUGCAUUUAAUCCAUUUUAUUAGACAAAAUACCUCAAGGGGUUUAUGUGGAAAAGUGCUAAAUCACAGAAGUAAAGUGUAUUUUACCCUAAAUUGAAUUAUAUGGUCAUAUAACCUGAAACAUUAGGACUAUUUAUUCUACGGUAUUGUCAAUUUAAACCAAGCCAAUGAGUCUUUUGGCUAAACAUGCUUCCUCCUUGAGAUAAAUUACGGAUGCAUAUUUUAUGUCAUUCUCUCCACUAUAUAAUUUUGAGCUUUGAAAUUCCUCCAAUUGAUGGGUGGAUUUCAAAUCCAAAUCCCUCAUCCAAACAGAUCCUAAGAAAAUCUUUCCUACUUCACCCAUCGUUUUGUUAUGGCAUUUUUGCAGGCCAAAUGAUUGUACAAAUAUGGUCAUACAAUUGCGAACGAAGUACCAUGCCCUCGAUCCUUAUUUCUUAAUGCUCUUGAGUUCCAUGCCUCCUUUUAGUUUCUUGAACAUUGGAAUUAAUCAAUAGGGUCAUCAAUCAAGUAAUUGUAAAGUUUUAAUUUGACUCUUGAGCUCUUCCUUUACGCUUUUUUUCUUAAUUAGACUUAGAGUCUCACUUGAAGAAUUGAAGUACAAAUCUUUUUGUUUUUUAUUCUUUUACUUAUAUAUUUUUUGUGGAGCUCUAACUUCCUAUGUAUUCACAUAUCUCUAGUGCCUGAAAUUGCUGCUAUUUCACACAAAAAAUUAUUGAAAAAAAAAACUUUUCAUUUACACGGCAAUAGGACCAAAAACCAGUCUCUCCAAAAAAAAAAAAAAAAAAAAGGCACUUCGUGCCAUGUAGAUCUGUUGCACUUUGCUAUCUGGUCAAACAAAUUAUGUUAAGACUUGAAUGAUUCGGAAUACAUUUUGGCUGGAUUUGUAAGGGUAAACAUUGUGUUAUUUUGUAUUAAACAAAAGUUCUCAUGGUUUAAUUAUUUAUUGGGUUAAUUUCACAUACCUCCCCUAAGUUUUUUACAAUUGUAGAAAGCUCCCCUCAAGUUCUAAAAAUUGCACCUACCUCACCUAUUUUCACUAUUUAAGUAACAUUUUAGGCACAAAAGGCUAUACUUUUUCUGAAAAUUCCUAUAAUGCCCUUAAGUUAUAAUUCACAACAAAAAUGUAAAGGAAAAAAAUGGUUCACAAUCUCUGUUUCUUUUAUCUUACUUGCUAUGACUAAUACCUACCCAUCAACAUCUAAAUCACCAUUAAAUAAACAUUUAUCUUUGUUCUAAUGUUCCUCUUUUAUCUAAAAAUUUUUUAUGCUAACCAUUGUACCAACUAUAAACACUACAUCAGAUACUCAAAAGUUUUCCUACAAUCUCAUAUCAAUAUAAUAGUUUGCUUAAUACACAACAAUAUUCAUUAAUAUCCCUAAAUUUUAAUUCCAUGGCUGCCACUUUUUUAAUACAAAAUAAUCUAAACCAUUACUACUAAUAUCAAUAUCCAAUAUAUUCCAUUGGCACAGAGUUCAAAAUCAAUCAAAUUCUCUAUAUAGGAAUAAUAUCAAUAAUUGUAAAUCAACAAUAGAAACAAAAUGCAGUUAUAAAUAUAUACCAAGGACACUUUUUUUUAUGGCAAGAUAUAAAUAUAUACCAAUGUAGUUAUAAUAAUGCAGUUAUAAAUAUAUACCAAGAUAUGUACAUAUUUGGUUUGGUGUAUAUGAUAAUUUUAUUAGUAGUGACAGUACACAUUUGGUUGAUAAUAAUAAAUAAAUGAGUUUAAAAGGAAAAUGGAUGUAGGAGAAAGAGGAUAGGUAGUUAAAUGGAAAAAGCUAUAGUUUGAACUAUUGGUUGAUAAUAGAUGAGAGAGCUUUAAUAUUUGAUAGAGUUUUUCAAUGAGUUGACAAUUAAUGAAGGGCAUUGUUGUCUUUUUAUUAUAUCAAGGGAGGUUUCUAUAAUUAUGUAAAUUUCAAGGGAGCCGAGUGAAAUUAUUAAAAAUCUCAAGGGAGGUUUCUAAAAUUAUCCCUUAUUUAUUUAGAGCUAACAAUGGCAUGUGCAUCACUGGACUCUUCAAAGUUUCUUUUGAUCGAAGUAAAAUAGUCUUGUCAAAUAUAAAUUAAGUUAUUAAAAUGGGCUAAAGGGCCUUGUGGGUUAAUUUUAGGGUUAAUUACAUUUGUCUCCGUUAAGGUUUGACCAAUCAAUGAACCAAAUCUUGAGGUAUUACUAAAUUACAUUUGCCUCCCUUGUCAAUAAUACUGUCAAGAGCCAACAAAUAGAACAAAUAAAAUGACAAAUUUACCCUCUACUCACAACAAUAAAUAAAAUUCACAAAAAAAAAAAAGAAAAGUUGCAAAAAUAAAAAUUGAGAGAGUUUAAUGGAGAAAACAUAAAGAUAAUUGAACAAAAUAAAUCUUUAUCCCAAUACCUAAACUUUUGAUAGAUAAAUGAAAAUAUAACUAUGGAAAUUGUAGAAAAUAAUAAAAAGGAAGUUCAUAUACAAAAGAAAAAUUAAUCAAAAACUUAACAUACAAAGAAAAAUUAGUCUGACUUGAAACUCAUUGCAUGAAAAACAAAAACAAGUAAACUCGUUAUUAGAUACAGGAAAGAAUAAAAAAAAUUAACAAAGAAAAAGAUUUCCUGUUGUCCAUAGGUGCAUCGUACUCCUCAAAACCUUAAUUCCUCCUGUUCUCAUCUUCAAGUUAUCACUCAUCUCUAACACACUCCAAUUCCAAACUAUUGCAAAUUCAUUCAUCUUUUAACACCAUAACCUACGUUCUCUAUCCUCUCCCCUAAAAAUCCACAAAAAAUAGACAUAUAAUUGCCGUGUACGAAACCAAAUCGUGGCAACCCAAUUCUUUGUACACAUUCAAGAGAAGCAAAGCUGGCAAGACAGAAACAAGAAGUCAGCAAAAUUUGAUACCGGGAAAGCCACAAAAAUCACAUGCAAAACCAUAUCCCAUCUUAGCCAUGAGCAAUGCACAGAAUCUCUUCUCCACCUCCUCAUAAACAAGGUUCGUCAUUCAAAUCUCAUGUCGAGAGGACAAUCAUUUGGACUCAAGAUUUGGUUUUGGUAGUUAAAUUGCAAGAUCUAUAUUUUGAUAGGUAUUGCAAUUCGUUUUUUUUAUUUUUCUUUCUUUUUCCUACUUUUGAUUGAAUCUAAGGCUGACAAUUUGUGAAGAAAUAGUGUUUUAAUAGAAGAAGAGGAAGGAAAAGAAGAAGAAGAAGAAGAGCAAGGAGUAUUUUUGAUAAGCAACCAGUGAGUGUGUGCCCAUUUAAUUCCACUCUACACGAACAACGAACUAUUGUGCAACUAACAAUUUUGCAACUCUGUUGGUUUCAAUCGCUAAGGAAGAGAAGAGUCAAAGACUUAAAUGGGAAUAAGCUUGUGAGAAGUUUAGGACAUUCACUGACUUUUUCGUUUAAUAUCAAGCAGUCAACGUUUGUUGACUAACGAUGGGGGCUUUUGUUAAGCUUUUGUGAAUUCGAAGGGUUCUUCAGUAGUUUUGGUCUUCGAAGGCAUUUUUUGUGUUUUAUGAUUUGCUAAUUUAGAAAGCUUGAAGGGGACACCACACCAGAUUUAGCUAUUAAUCCUUGUAGCUUUGGUUUUUGUACACUGAAAUUUUGAGACUUAAAAAACGAAAAAAAGAAAAGAAAAAUUAAAGUAAGACAUUAAGAUUGUAUUAGAGGAAAUACUAAAAGAGUAAAUUUUAUAUACACGGACAGAGUAUACUAGUUGAUGUUUAUUUUAUUUUAUUUUAUGCUAAUUUAGAAGGAUAGGAAGGGACACCACACCAGCUUUAGCAAAUAAUCCCUAUAGCAGGUCCAGUAGUAUUCUGGACUCCAAAUGCACCGCGCCAAAACCCCUACUUUGCCUGAUCUAGCAAGCAGUGAUUUUAAUGGUAGCGACUCUACGGUAAUGGAAGACCAAAAAGUCUUCAAUUACCACUCCAGAGAAAAUUGGACACUUUUGUAGUCUUGAUUAUUCACCAAGCCACAAAAUCAAAGAAAAGGUAUUCGUAACUUUCUCUGCACAACUCUCUCUCUCUCUCUCGACAGUUUUCUCAGACCCAUCCUCACCGCCCUGCACUUGUAGGCUCUACUCCAACAUAGGUUAAUUAUAUUGGAGCCAAGCUAGAGAUGGUUGAGUUUUCUUGUUCUCCUUCUUGUUUUUCUUUUUCCUUCUGAUUUCGCUGGUUAUUGACUGGAUUCUAUAUGAGAUGGUUGAGGGUUUCUGGAUUUUUGGUUGAUUUUCUGUCGUUCUGGUGGGAUGCUGGGUAUUCAUGGUGAAUUGGAAUUUUUGAGUAGCAAUUGGCGGUGGGUUUUCCGAUUUAUACAAACUUGAACAAAACUUAGUUUGUUGAAUUUCAAUUGACAUUUGCUCAUUUUGAUGGAGACGAUUUGUAGUAUUUGAGAUAAUUUUGUGAUGUUUUGGGGACUAGUAUGGGUUCUAAUGUCAUAGGCUGUGGUUGCUGGCUGGUGCUUGGUGAUGGUUUGGCUCCAGGGAUCAGCCUAUCCCAUUACGAAGCAAGAAAAAAAAUUGAAGAAAAAAUGGAAAUCCAUUACAGUAAUAAAAAGAAGGGUAAAAUACAUUUUACUCUCCUGUGGUUUAACGAUUUUUCAUAUAACCUACCUAUAGUCUCAAAAGUUAUAUAUAUAACUCCCUUAUAGUUGGAACUAAAGUGUCAAACAGACCCAUGAAAAUAUCGAAAUUAUUCUUGUUUAAAAAUUAAAAUAAUUGAAAUGAUCAAAAUACAUAAGUAUAACAUGCACGACAUUUUAAUAUCAUAUAGUUUUAUAAUUACGCUUUACAUGGAAAGAAAGAAAUAAGAGAACACUUCAGAAUACCACUACACCAGCUGACAAAAUAGUUGCUGAUAUCAACAAUGACUGUUAUUUCAUGGCCAAGAGCUCCUCGCACCAAAGAAAAUUGGCAACUAGUUUUGGAAUGGGGUUUGCCCCAAUCUUGUUUGUAGGAUUAGACUCUUUAGCAUGUAGUAGUAGUACUAGUCAUGGUUUUCAUUUUCUUUACAUGAUUAAUGAAUUAUACAGUGUAGUUACACUUGUGACGUACAUGUAUAUGGAGACUUCUGGCUCUCCUUUGUAAAGCUUUCCUGCAUAUCGAUAAAGACCAAACAUUUGCCUAAAAAAAAUGAUUCUAGGAUAUUAAAUAUUUUUUUUUGUGUAGUAAACAUGCUUAUAUACGAUGUUUUAGAUUUCAAAGACACUGAUAUGAAGAACUUAAUUUCAGGUGCAAAAUGUUAUUUUUACUUGCAGAUUUCCUGUCUGAAGUUGAAGCUGAGGAGUCAAUUAAAAAGUACACCAAGCCCUCUAGAAAACUCCUUCAGGACGAAAUGCUUAUUGAAAUAUUUGGGAUUAAGGAUGGCCAUGGAGAAAAUUCAUGUGCCCAUACCCAUUAACGCUGUUUUGAGAACAUUUGUUGUUCUGGUUGUGUGUGUGGGAGAUAUAGUUUACGGUGUAAUGGCACCUGCUGAACACAGAUCCACUGCAAUUGCUGGAUUUCUUGUCCAGCAAAGUCCUCCUGCUGUUGAAGCUGCUUGUAAAACCUGAUGUCGUCAUGAUCUAUUUUUUGUAUUGUGUAAAUCUCUUAUUGUGGAUACAACAUUUCUCCUCUAGAUUUUUUCAUUGUCAGCAACAGGUUGUUUCAUUCUUAAAGUAACUUUAAGACAAAGUUGUCUUUUUCUUUUCUGUAUUAUUUUCUAAAAUUCUUAAGUAAUUUCACUAUCAACAAGCACGCAACAAAGCAGUAGCUGCCCUAACAUUUGGACCCAUUCUACCAGCGUCUCCCCGCGCGUGCGCAAACACACACACACACACAUAUAUGCUUAUACUAUAUAAGAUUGAGUUUUGGUUAAAGAAUAGGUUGAAUUUCAAUCGCAUAGGUGGGGGUUUUUUGGGAAUGUGAAAUGUUGUGUAUUAGUUUAAAAGGUUUAGGUACAACUUAAGGAAGCAUAUAUUUGGGUAUGUUUACUGAAAUGACCCCAUUUUAAUACAUUUAAAGUUAUCAUUAAUGAGCCAUCUAGGUAUUGAUAGAAUGUGUAAUUAGUGUGCAACCGUUUUUGCAUUUUGUACAACCCAUAUAUGCUUGUGUGUUGGUAUAAUUAUCGGAAUAUCCCUUAGCUACCAAUAAUUCCCCUUUUCACCGUAGAUAACCGUUUGAGAUGUUACUUUGUCUGAAACGUUUGAAUGGCAAUUGGAUUUAGGAAAUGAUCCAACGAUUUCUCUAUCAAUGGUAGGAACCCAUUUCUCUAUUAUUUAUAAUCUGCAUUUAUGAGCCACAAACGUUGGUCGGUUUAUCCCCUCUCAGAUUCAGGAGUUAAGUUUUCUCUUUUUACCUUUGUCUAUAACGAUUUGCUUCAUCGUUUUCUCUUCCAUCCGAGCUCAACUCUGAAAUUACCUAUUAUUUUGUCAUUAAUUACAUCCAAUUCAAUUGCCAAACCGAUGGUAUGUUAAUGCAUAAACGAUUGAUUAUCAGUUUCUCCCUGUUCGCAUUCUAGGAUUGGGAUAAUUCUACCUGACUUCAAACUAAUCAACUCAGAAUACUCUUCAAUCUCAGUUACUCCUGGUGGUUCAGAGUGAGGUUAGAUUUCAUUCCCACCCCAAUUUUUCAGUUCCUUCCUUAAUUUUAUCGAUGUGUUCUUAGUACCUACAACUAGCGACUCUUAUCGCGUUGCUUAACUCCAAUUGGUCUGGGUUGGUUAUAAUCUUAUAGGUUUGGAGUAACAGCAAGUAAGAGCUCUCGGUGGGGAUUCUAGAAUAAGGUUAGCUUUCUGUGUUGCUCUGCCUUUCUGCAUUAUCAACGACUUUCAAUUUGACACAGAGUUAUUAUAAUGCUGUGUGAAUUGAUUGAUUAUAUCGUUUAUUUUUUCAUACUAAGUUUUAUUUCUUCUCAUAAUGUACUAUUAUUUGUUCAACAAAAAAACCUCAUUCCCCACAGGUACAAAACAUCGUGCGGGCAUUCCCCCCUAGUGUGUGUGUGUGUGUGUGUGUAUGAGCUUUUUUUGAGGUAUAACAGUUUUUAACAUGAAACGAUAUUUUCUUAUCAUAAAUUAAACAAAGAGAAUAAGAAGAAAAACUGCUGAUCUUAUUGUGAGUCACCCACAAAAGUUUUUAGUCCCAGAAUGUUUAAGUGAUAUUUUUGAGUACUUUUCAAGAGCUCUUGAGGUUAGGUCCCCCCCCCCUCUCUCAAGAGUCUUGUAUCUUUAAUUUUAAUUAGUUAAUAAAAUAAAAUUUAUUUAAAAAAUAAAAAUGAAAUGUUUUUGGGAGAUGUAUAACUUUAGAUCAGAGACAUACGUGAGUAGGGCUGCAAACGAAUCGAGCCGCUCGCGAGCGGCUCGAGUCGAGCUUAGAAUAUUAAGCUCGUUAGCUUGCGAGCCGGCUCGCGAGCCUGAGUAUAUAUAUAUAUAUAUAUAUUUUUUAUUUAAUAAUAAAAUUACGUAUAUUAUAUAUAUAUUUUUUAAUUUUUUUAUUUUCAUAGUAAAAUUACGUAUAUAUCCUUAAUAUUUUAUUAUUUAUUAAGAAAAAAAGAUUAUUUUAUUUAUUUUUUUAUUUUUUUCGAGCUCGAGCUCGGCUCGACUUGAUUCGAGUCGAGCUCGAGCUUGGUAAAAUUUAGUCGAGACCCGGCUCGAUUAGCUCAAAGCUCGACUCGACUCGACUCGUUUGCAGCCCUAUACGUGAGUACUCCAUUUUGAACCCCGAUUAAGCCAUUAUCAAAAAGUAGUAGUAAAGUAUUACGAGUUGGAAAAAAUAUAGUUUUGGUCCCUGAUGUUUAGCUACUUUGCAGUUUUAGUUUUUAAAAUUUUGUUAAAAACAAAUUUGAUUCUCAAUGUUUAGUAUAUGUGUAGUUUUAGUCCGUAAAAUUUUAGCAAUAGUAAAUCUGGUCCCCAAUAUUACAAAUUGGAAGCAUUAUUUAGGACAAUUGAUGGAUUUUUUUUCAAAUAUUGACGGAAUUAAUCAUGACAAUCACAUGUUUGCUGAAUUAAAUUUCUUAAAAAAGAAGCAAAAUAACUAGUAAUCUUGAACAAUAAGAAUAACUUACAUGAUAGAACGUUAGUAACUAAUUAUUAAAGAAUAUAUAUGAAAAACUAAGUAUUAUGAUUUGUUGAUUAAAGGUAAUAGGAUUCGAAUAUGAAAAUGGAUUCUAGAUCGAUGAAUUGAAUGCUUCGAAACCUUAGUUAAUUAAUUUGGACAUAAGCAAUUAGUACUUAUUAUUGUUAUUUAAAGUUAGCCACUAUUUUGAUUCUUUAUUUUGAAAUUUAAUUUAAUGGACACAUGAUUAGACAUGACUACAUUUUGUUAGUAUUUGAGAAAAAUUCUUCAAAUGUUUUAAAUCUGCUUUAAAUUGGAUACACUGGGUACCAGAUUUGUUCUUAUCAAAACUUUAAGGACUAAGACUAUACAUAUACUAAACACUAACGGCCAAAUUUACUUUUGCUAAAAUUUUAAAGACUAAAACUGCAUUUUCCCCGUCCCCCGCCUCCCGCUCCCCCCGCCCCGCCCCGCCCCCGCCCCGCCUUGCCCCGCUUCUCCCGCGGGGUUAAUAAAAUUUUAUUAUAAUUAAAUUUUAAUAAAUAAUCAAGUACUAAAAUAGCAAUACAUCACCAAAUUAUUAUUCAUUAUAAUUUUACAAUUGAAACUCAUAAAAACAAUCAAACAGAAGUUAUUUGAAUACAAUCCAAUACGAUGAAAUAAAUAUAACUGAAAUAGUCAAAUUUUCACUUUUAGUACAAAUGCAAUCACUAAUUCAUCUUGUGUUUGUGCCUUUUUUUGAGAAAAAAGUGUUAUUCUAUUAAGUAUAAUUAGAAAUUUAGUAUAAAUGUAUUAGUAAAUUUAGUAUAACUAAUUAAUAAAUUCUAUUAGUAGACAUGUAUAAUUAUUCAUAUAAUUGAUAAUAUCAAUUAUAUUACAUAAACAAAUAUACAUUAUAUAAUACAUCUAACUAAUAAUAUCAUUAUCAUAAGUUUAUAACUAAUUAACUUACAUAUAAUAUAUAGUCAUUUAUAUAUAUAUAUAUAUAUUUUGCGGGUGGCGGGGCGGGGGAUGGGGCGGGGGAGUAUACCCCCGCCCCCCGCCCCGUUUCUAAGCGGGGGGAAAAAAUUCCCCCCCGCCCCCGCCCCACCCCCCGCCCCGUGAGCCCCCCGCGGGGCGGGCACCCGCCCCCAUUGCCAUCCCUAGUCAUAACUAUCCACUUAGUCGUACGCAGAUUUUAGAGAAUCCCACACAGAGAUCAAACGAGAUUUGUUUUGAUACCUCCAAAUCUACUAGAUUGGUCCAAUAACUUUUUAAAUUGAAACUAUGUGUUAAUUCAAAAUUAUUAAUAAUCCAUUGGACCGAAACUUAUAUUUCAUUUCUUUCUUCUUCCGAUAUCCGAUGUGGAUUAUCUCAGUAGACAUUCACUUGCAUGAACACAAAAAACACGUUCCGGAUAAGAUUUUGGGAUAAGAUGGCUGAAUGAAAAGGUCGUUGGUGGUAAUAGCUUCACUCGAUGAUUGGGGGUAGGUGGCAAUAAUUUCUGGUGUAGCCUUAAAAAGAAUAGGACACUAUAAAAAAAUAUAUUAUCAUUUAUUCCUAUAUAUCUAAUAGAGGAAAUUUAUGUCUCUUUUAUUUAUAUCGCAUUACUUUCCAGUUCCUUUUUUGGGUAAGAAAUAAAAAUCAUAUAAUAUCAAAAAUUUUUAUAGAAAAUAAGAAUUGAUAUAUAUCCAAACAAAAAAGGAGUAAGCCACGUAGGAAACUACUUGUCGUCUCGUUAAGCCACGUAGGAAAGAGAAAAUAUAAAGGGAUAAGUAUAAAAAUACGACUUUAUUAUAUAUAUAUAUAUAUAUAUAUAUAUAUAUAUAUAUAUGAUUACUUUGGAUUGCUCUUCCUACCUUAUUCAUACCUCAGCCGUCCUUCUAGUUUCUUCUUCUACUCCUCAUUUUUUCCCUUUUAUCAUUUUUUUAAUUUUAUUAUUUAGACGGUGAAAAUGAUGAUAAAGUUAGUAAAGAUGUACAUUACAAAAAUUUUUUUUUUACCAUAGAAGGCCAUUUGGUAGUGAAGAAGAUGAUAAUGGCCAAUAUAAAUAUCAAUUAUAAAGGACGCAUAUAUCUUCAGUACAUGGUUGUUCUACUUUUCUUUCUUUUUUGUUAAUUUUCAAUAUUGGAGUUGAUUUUACAAACCUUAUUUGAUUUGUUCUUGACUUGGGAGAGUCAGAAUCUUCUUUUUCCAUUAAUUUGAGAUAUUCGGUAGAUAAAUUUAUAUUUGUUUUGAUCUUUAAUAUUGCUAAACGAAAAACAUUUUCAUUUCUUUGGUUGAUGAAUUGAAAAUUGCUAGACAUUGUGUAAAAGAUAUUUCAGAAUUCAGGGUUUUUGCCUUUAUUUCAUACUUCCUCAUUAUUAGCUAUUUUUUUAUUAUUAAAAAAGUUUUUUAAAAAAUCAUCGAGCCGAUGAACUGACUGGUUAAACCGAUUUAAAAAAAAAAAAAAAGAACCGAACAUCCACCCAAUUUGUUUGGAAAAAAAAAAAUCCACCUAAUUCAUUUACCUGUCCGACUUUGAAAACAUCGAGGACAGCACAGAUAACAGAAAGGACAACAAUUCUUCGACAAAAUUAAUGGGCUGCCCUACAAGCAACCAAGUACACAGAAGAUAACAAUUUGAAAUUGACUACUUCCUAACAAAUUUAUAUCUAUUUGAAAGAACAAUUAAAAAGUGAAUUAAAGAAUGAUUAAUGGUACAAAUAAGUCACUACCAGCCAAUAAAUACUGCAAGUUGUCAUGUGAAAAGGUUCUUCCGUUUAUUUAAGUGUAAUUAAAGGCAAGGGGAUUGCCGGCCUGCCGCUUAAGCUUCUCAAUCACAACAUGUACUAGUAAUAAGCAUUUAGCAGUACGUGUCUUUUGAGGUGGACAUAAGGUGUAAACUAUUUAGCCAAACCUGCUUUUUUUUUUAUUUAAUAUUUUCAGGUUCAUUCAUUCAAGAUGCAUUUGGUAAAAUUAAAAUCUGACAUCGUUAAGUUAUUAAAUUAUAAAUACUGAAAUCAUAAUAUUUGAGCAUAUUCUGCAUUCAAUGAAAUCCUACACCGUUCGAACCCAUUUAAUUAAUUAAAAUGCUCAAUUUCUCGUUAUCAAACAUAUCUAAACAUGUUAAAGAUCUGAAUAUAUUAAAUAAGUUUAAGUGCUGAAUUAAAUUAUCAAACAGGGUUUUAGUUUAAGAAGCUUAAAAUUGCAUUCAAGUGUACAUUUUUAUUUAUCAAACUAGUUUUUCACCCUCGCACGAGGAUGCCCUUGGUCUGUGUUUUGUUUAUCAGUAGCAAUCUUUAUUGUGAUUUGUUAAACACGUUUAUUGGGUAUUUCAGUUGCAAGGGGAUACGAUUCUUGCUGUUGUUUAUUUACCCAAUGCUAGUGGCAUUGCUGAGCAUGUUCAAUUGCAUUUGACAUACGCUGAGAAUGCAGUUAUUCGUCCUGUGAUGAUGCAAGAUUGCUUUCAAAUUGGCUCUAGUCCAUAUGAAAUAACACUAACAAAGCACACUUUUAUUCAGCAAGCUGUAACCGUUCAUGAUUUAGCUAUUCACAAUUAUUAUCAGUUGACUCGUUUUGGAGAUUUGGAAUCCCUCAUUGAUCAUGCUAAUCCAAAAAAUAAGUAUGGCUGACUAAUUUUACGUAAAAAGAAAAUUCUCUGUAGCUUGCUUUGUUUAUAUGAGUGGUUAUAGUUUAAUAAUAAUUUUGAGUUGUACUGUAGUUAUUACUUGGAUUGACUAUUCAUGCUUUGCCAGCACGUACGAUAAUUGUAGGGAGGAGAAAUGUACAAAUGCAAGAAUUCGUCGUUACGAAUGAAGAAUAGUAUAUCUUGAUAAGCUGAAGAUGUGUUUGAUAGGGAUAUUGGGUAUUAAUUUGAUUUGCUACUCACUAUUUUUGUUCCCUGGGCUACAAACGAAUUUAAUCGCUUGCGAAUCGAUCGUGAGAGACUCGAGUCCAGCUAGGUCAACAUUGAGCUCGAGUCAAGUUCGAUCUUGAACUCAAAUUCAAAAAUAUUAAACCCGUUAGCUCGCGAGUCAACUCGAACUCGAUUAUAUAUAUUAUUUUUUAUUUUAAUAAUAAAAUUAAAUAUAUAUUCUUAAUAUUUUAUUAUUUGUUAAGGAAAAUUAUUAUUUUAUUUAUUUUUUAAAAAUUAAAUAAUUUUUUUUCAUUUUUUUAAACUCGAGUUCAAGAUCGAGUUUUACAUUUUGAGCUCAUCGAGCUCGAGUUCGAAUUUCAUAAACUUAGGUUGAGACUGAAUUUAAUUAGUUCAAAACUUGACUCAUCUUAACUCAUUUGCACCCGUAAUUGUUCCCAUGCUGGUACGAAUGAACAAAAAAUCGGACCUCAAUCUGGAAGGAAAAUCGAGAGCAGCACAACUAGCAAUUCAUGUCAAUAUAGCAAUCACAUGGUGUGCUUAACACUAAUCAAUAUGGCAUAAACAUAAAAAAAUGGUCUUGUCUUUCCGAAGGAAGUCUAGAAUCCAAAAUAGAGAAGGGAAAGGUGGGGAGCUGUUUGUGUUUUUAAACUCGGAUCAAACCGACUGGUUCGACUGGUUGAACCGAGAAUCAGCUAGGCUUUCAGUCCGAGUUCAUUCAAAAAACCGCCCUAAAUAAAAAUCAGUCAAAAUCGGGUCUGACCGGGAAUUGAAAAUAACCAUAAGGACCGGGUUUGUUUUAUUUGUUUGGUAUUCUGCUUUUCUUCUUCACUUUUUGACUGUUCCUAUCCCUAAAGAGAUGAUCACUAACCUUUAACUACCCUAUGUUCUCUCACGGAUACUUCCAUGGUGGUAAUCUAGCAAGAGCCUUUCAUGGUUGCCAUCAUAGUUGCUAGAUCUGGAACUUAAAAAAAAAAGGAUGGCUAGUUCUGAAAUAAAAAAAAAAAGGAAAAGAUGAAUCAGCAAGAUGAUGAAAAGAAAACAAGGAUUGAAACUUACGAGCUAACGAGUUAAGUAUCUUUAAACUCUAGUUUGCUCGAGCUCGGUCACUUCAAUUGCGAGUAACUCGACUCAUUUGGACCUCUAGGAUUGAUUGAAGCUCUGAUGUGGUAUGAUUUUUCUAAGUAUUUAUUUAUUUGACUUGUACUUUUUUUUUUUCAAUGCUCCAUUGAUUUGUUAACCAUUCUUUUCCCUUUCUGGUAUUAGGACUGCAUGGUUAUUAUUAUGUUUGGGAUUUUAAGAAUGCAAAGUUCAAGACCAUACCACUUUGCUGAAAUAUUUCUUGAAAUUUUCUUUUACAAUAAAAUGCCUAAUAUUAGAACACUUGUAAAUGCCUCUAAAGCCUAUUUUGUGUUCGUAUCGCCCACAUUCUUUUAAAACCGGCCUGAUAUUAGUUAAAAAUAGUAAAGAUCGUAGACUCAAUAUAAUUUGCCUGAAAUUUAAUAGGACCAAAUUGAUUAAUUUUCUAAAUAUCAAGGACUAAAUUUUCUUCCUUGAAACAAAAAGAACCAUUUUACCCACAUCCUAAUUGUUGAGGACCAAAAUCUAAUUAGUUUAAGACUGAGGCGGAGGACAACCACCAGAAGAGAGGUAAAUGGAGUUCUGGAGGGUGGUUGCCCCUCUCUUCUGCUUCUGUUCCUCUAAAAAAUGCAAUUCCUUCUUUCUAAAUCCAAAUCAUUUAUAUAUAUAUAUAUAUAUAUAUAUAUAUAUAUAUAUAUAUAAUAAAGUCGUAUUCUCAUACUUAUCCCUUCAUAUUUUCUCUUUCUUACGUGGCUUAACGAGACGGCAAGUAGUUUCCUACGUGGCUUACUCCUUUUUUGUUUGGAUAUAUAUCAAUUCUUAUUUUCUAUAGAAAUUCUUGAUAUUAUAUGAUUCUUAUUUCUUACCCAAAAAAGGAACUAGAAAGUAAUGCGAUAUAAAUAAAAGAGACAUAAAUCUCCUCUAUUAGAUAUAUAGGAAUAAAUGAUAAUAUAUUUUUUUAUAGUGUCCUAUUCUUUUUUUUUUUAACAGCUUCAUCAUAGAUCCUUUUUAUUUUAAGAUAAGUUACCCAUAUAUAGAACAACAUACAAACAAUCUAGACAUGGAAAUUAAAGAAAGUUAGCUCAAGAAAGUUUUUACAAGACUCACAAUCCCCAUGCAUAAUUGAUGUACAAAGAGAAAUGGCACUUCAUCUGAUUGAAAAAUUCUGGAAAAGUCCAUAAAAAAAAUGGAGUGUCAUCAACCAAAGAAAUAAAAUCCCAUUAUCAUAGCUAAAGAAAGAUGAGAUAAAACAUUAGAUAUUUAUUGAAGUUUUGCACCCCGAAAGCCCCUACCCGACCUCCGUCCGUCGUGUCCUCCGCCCGUCUUUUUUUUUAAUAUAUUUCUGCUAAUAAUUCCUUAAUCACAAUACAUCUUUGCCUAGAUGGUGGGGAGUAUUUCGUGUGUGGACCCACAUCAUAGGAGUCCAUGCACUUAAAGGACUUGAUAUAGUGGAGGUGGUCUUUUAAGGUCGAUAAAAUCUAUCUUGAUAACGCAUUUGUAAAUUUAUUACGUACAGGUUUAUAUACGUGCAUAGUACGAGUCACAUAAGGUCUUAUUUCCUACCCAAAGUUAAUUGGACGAUUAUGGUUUUAUUUCCUAUAAGAAUUCUUAAUAUUAUAAGAUUCUUAUUUCCUACCCAAAGUUACGUAAUUUAAGCAACUUAAAUUAAGAUAAACAUACUUUUAAUGUUCUUAUCAAUAUCUCUUUGUAUACUUAUCAAUUCUUAUUUCCUAUGUCUAUACUACAUAUAGCCUCUAAUAUAUUGAUUUCAAGUAUCAAAUUCAUGGUUAGGUAUUUCCAGUGCAAGCGGUUGGCAUAUUAAAGUAUCGAUUUUGGGUUUUCACUCCUCUUGAUUAUCAGGUACAUCUUUUUUCAAUAUAUAUAUAUAUAUAUAUAUAUAUAUAUAUAUUUUAAAAAAGGCAUGUUGAUCUUCAAUUGUAAGAGCUUAGUAACAUAUCUUGAAUUUUUUUUGUUUUAUUUUCUAUUUGUUUUGUAUGAAGACAUAGGAUUUAAACAAGUACUUUCAUCGUUAUUUUUGUAGGAUUUUUUCUAACAUAUUUGUUAAUUGAUUUUUGUGAUCAUAUACUACGAUGUUUGUUAAUUUGCCUUCAGGAAAAACGACCAAAAACAAAAGGCACUGGAAAGUAAUGCGAUAUAAAUACAAGAAACAUAAAUAUCUCUAUUAAAUAUAUCUGCAAAUUCAUUAGUUAAUUAAAAGACUCUGGCCGUUUAUUUAAUUAUAAUCUUUACGUAUUGUUAUACACAAACUUGAAUGCGAUAAAUCAUUUAUUUUUUUUAUAUUUAGUUAUCCUACUUUGCUAUCAUGCAGUGAUAAUAGAAAAUCAAUAAAUGCUGAUUUGCACGGACAAAUCGAAGAGAAUGUUCAAAUAGAAAAAAACAAAAAAAAAAGUUUCUAAAUAGUAGAAUAUUAUUUGAUACUAUUUACUGCACUUUUUAUUUAUUUUCAAGUUUUUGAAUGUUAUGGUAUUGUUGAAUGUUAUUUUUUCUAUUUUUGAAUUAUUAUUCACUGAAUUAGAUGUUCAAAUUUAUAUUAUAAGAAUACUUUACAUUACAAUGCGCACAUGGUAAUAUACUUAAGACAAAUUAUAAUAGAUUAUACAUUAAAUAUGUAUUUUAUAUCGACAUUUUUAUAAAUUGACUAAAGUUUAUUAUUUUUCGAUGAUUCCCGUUCAACGAACGGGUACAAAACUAGUUCUAUAUAUUUUCGAUGUGAAAUACGAAGGGGCAAAAGGUAGUUUUGGAUGACAAUCAUUUUCUUGCACAGUUGCACGUACCUAUUACGCGUUAAUUUACAACAAACUCAAAGAAGUCAUUGCAGUUGGUGGAGUCAGUGACCCAUCUUAAUGUGAUAACUUAUCUUUUUGGAAGAAUAAUUAAAAAGUGAAUUAAAGAAUGAUUAGUGGUACAAAUCAGUCACUACCACCCAAUAAAUACUGCAAGUUGUCAUGUGAAAAGGAUCUUCCGUUUAUUUAAAUGUAAUUAAAGGCAAGGGGAUUGCCGCUUAAGCUACUCAAUCACAACAUGUACUAGUAAUAAGCAUUUAGCUGUACAUGUCUUUCGAGGUGGACAUAAGGUGUAAACUAUUUAGCCAAACCUGCUUUUUUUUUUAUAUAAUAUUUUCAGGUUCAUUCAUUUAAGAUACGUUUGACAAAAUUGAAAUUUCAAAUCUGACGUUUGAAAACCGACAUCUGAAUCCGUUAAAUUAUUAAAUUAUAAAUACUGAAAUCAUAAUAUUUGAGCUUAUUCUGCAUUAAAUGAAAUCCUACACAAUUUGGAACCAUUUAAUUAAUUAAAAUGCUCAAUUUCUUGUUAUCAAACAUGUCUAGAAAUGUUAAAGAUCUGAAUGUAUUAAGCAAGUUUAAGUGCUGAAGUGAGUUAUCAAAUAGGGUUUUAUUUUGAUUUGCUACUUUUUUUUUCCGGAAACGACAAUUGUAAUAUAUCAUAAUCUAUCCUACACUAGGGGGAGGGGGUGGACCUAAAGAGGUUCAGGGAUAAUCCGGAAGGGACUGAAUUACCACCAGACCAAAUGGGUGCACUACGUACUCGUCUGGGUUUUUUGAAACAAAUCCACAUUUAAUUGUGGUGAUUGGUGGGAUGGUGGCCACAAGCCCAAAGGCUGAUGGUUCCUUAAUUUCGGAGUUUUGAUGGCAUCCGGUGCAUCAGUGCUGGUAUGAUCGCAACCAAGAAGGAAGAUUUGCUACUCACUAUUAUUGUUCCCAAUGUCUGGUACGAAUGAACGAAAAAUCGGACCUCGAUAUGGAAGGAAAAUCGGGAACAGCACAACUAGCAAUUCAUGUCAAUAGCAAUCACAUGGUGUGCUUAACUCUAAUCGAUAUGGCACAAACAUAAAAAGUAGUCUUGUCUUUCCGGAGGAAGUCCAGGAUCCAAAAUAUAGAAGGGAAAGGUGGGGGGAUGUAGGAGGAAUGAAAAUUUUGUGCAAAGAGAGGGAGAUGGAGAGGGCCUAGUUCUUGGAUAAACACCAAAGCGCUAACAGGAAGGGAGGAGAAGUGAAGAAAGAGGAAAGACAUUUGUAGAGGGUGUAAAUGAGUCUAAUAAAAUCAAAUGUCAUAGUAUUUAAAUUUGUUUAGUUAUUUUAACGAGUUUGAAAUUUUAUUAAAAUUUAAAUAAUUUAUUUGUCAAAUCGAAAUUAAAUAAUUUUUUUCAGCGAAUAUAAAAUAUUAUUCAAUUUUAAAUUAAUUAAUUGACGAAUCAAAAUUGAAUGAACUUUUAUCAAAUAAAACUCGAUUCGAAUAUUGAAUAGUUUGACUCCUCUUCCAAUCCUAUACAUUUGUUUGGCGCUUCGGAUGGUGGUGAGUGAAAAAGGCUUUUUUUUUCUCAGGCCUAUGGCCGUAGAUAUUGGAGAGAGAAGGAAACGGCGGCGGCGAUACAGUGGUAAGGGAAAGGCUACUAGGGUUUGAUUUGAAGCAGGAGGUCAAACCCAGACGACAACUAAUGAAACGCCACUGGAUUUGUUGAAAUUUACAGCAUAACUGCUUUCAUGAAAAUGCAACUGAAGUUGCUCGAAAUUACGUUAGGCAACUCAUACUUUAGUGUAGUGAAAAUAUGAUAUGAUUUGAGUUACAAAAUUCAAAAGGACAAAACACUCUUACCGUAAAAUUCAAUCGGAUUACUCUUACAGACCACUAUACUUUUUCUUAUAACCUAAAUGACAAACUGAAGGCACACAAGAAGUAGAACUGCAGAAGAAGAACCAAAGAGAGUAAAAGUCAAUCAGGUAAUGAUGUUCAAUCCUAUGUCAGUCAUGUUUCCUAAUUCUUCUGAUUGUUGCUAGCAUUUGACAUUGACUCACUGCUUGUUCAGAAGUAUAAAGUGCAAUUUUUGUACUUUCAUAUGCAAGUUCCCCCCCCCCUCCUCCCCCUUUCUUUCUUGAGGAUACCAACUAGACAGCAGAAAAAAUUACACAUAUACCUUUAAACCUUGGUGUUGCUGAAUUGUCAGAUGAUAUAUAUAUAUAUAUAUAUAUAUAUAUAUAUAUAUAUAUAUUUGAAAAUGGAUGCUCAAAUGCCUGAGAGUUGAAUCAGAUGAUGAAUUUGAUUUUUGCGCUAUAAAAUGGUAAAAUCGUGCAAACCACGAAUGCAAGGUUGCCAUGCACAUUUUGAUAGACCUAUUUUGAGCUGACACUAGCUUAUAGAAGCCUCUAAAACUCGACAAUCCUUUAGAGGAUCCUGAAUUUGGAUGUUAACCACUUCCGUUUACCCCAGACCUUCAUAAUGGAGUUAGUCCGUUUUGAAGUAUUUACAGAUGCUUCUACAUGAUUGAAGGUUUUGGAUGAUAACAGACAACUAAAGUCCAGAAAGGCUUGAAGAAAAAUACUGCUAGAAAUCUCAUUGUGGAUGUGUAGGAAAACUUUUGGUUUGUAUUGACACAAUUUACGGUGUAAUAAGGUCUUUAGGUCAAUCAUUUAUGUUGUGUGCCUGGCGCUCCAUUUGAUACCCUCAUUUUAAAGACAAUGCAUCCAUGUUUCUGUUAGAAGUCUCAAAUGGGGUUCUUAUACAGAUUUUCACCUUUUUUCACCUGUUGUUCUUGAGAAAUUUUGUAUAUGACGAAAGCCUAAUCCAUCUUGUGCCAUCGUCUAUGUCUUUGAUGCUGGAAUUUGUCCUUGCUUCCUGUCCAGUUUCUCUUCUUUACAGCUGGAUUGCUAUUGUGAAUAAAGAGAGGAAAGGAGAGGAAAGAACCAAAAAGUUGCAUGGCCUUCCCCAUUCCAGACAGAGUAAAGAGGCUAUGGGAUGAGUGGAAUCUUCGUGCUGCUGUUCUCAUCAGUCUUUUUUUCCAAUGGUGUUAAUAUGCUGUGCGGCAUCACGUAAAAGAACAGGAAACAUGAUAGUGACUGCUACCACCUGGUUAUUUUAUCUGCUUGCUGAUUGGUUUGCAGCUUUUGCUGUUGGACUCAUCUCCAACGGUCAAAGUAAUAAUUGUCCUGAGAAAUUUGCAGUAAAUCAAGACCUUGCAGCAUUUUGGGCUCCAUUUCUAUUGCCACAUCUUGGUGGCCCUGAUAAUAUUACCGCCAUCUCGCUUGAAGACAAUGAGCUGUGGAUUAGGCAUCUGCUUGGGCUUAUCAUUCAGUUUUCUGCUGUUGCUUAUGUUUUUUCACAAUCCCUGCGUAACGUAUUCUAUGUCCCCACAAUACUCUUGAUUUUUGCUGGAACUAUUAAAUAUGCUGAGCGAACACGGGCUUUAUAUUUAGCUUGUUUGGGUAAUAUUAAGGAUUCUAUGCUUCCACUGCCAGAUGCUGGACCAAACUAUGCAGCUUAUGGAGGAGUACUCAUCUAAGGAAGCUGCUCAAGUUCCAGUUGAGAUAGAGAUAGUGAAGGAACAUGACAGAGGCACUCAGACUUCUGCAAAUCCAGAAGAAGAGAAUUUGAGUCCUGAAGACAUCAGUGAUAUAGAUAUUGUGCAAAAUGGGUAUGAAUUGUUUACCACUUUUAGGGGCCUGAUUGUUGACCAUAUGUUUAGCUUUCAUGAGCGCAGUAAGAGCAGAAAAUUUUUCUUCCAAAGGUCUGCAUUUGAUGCUUUCAGAGUAAUGGAGGUGGAGCUCAAUUUCAUAUAUGAUACUCUCUACACUAAGAUGGCUGUGGUACACAGUAAAAAAGGUUAUUGUCUUCGAUUGAUCUGCUCUAUACUUAUAGUGCUUUCUUUUGAGAGAUUUGCAUCACAUCAUAAACCCGAUAUUAACCAUUUUGAUGUUGCUACUACCUACAUUUUGCUUUCGGGAGCUGUUCUCUUGGAUUUUGUAGCCUUUACUAAGCUCAUUUUCUCAGACUGGACCAUAGUCAAGCUUAAGAAUCUCACAGUCAAAACAACUGUAUAUGCAGUCCGUGAAAAGCUGUCAUGUUCCAAAAGGUGGUCUAAUACCCUUUGGCAAUGUAACUUGAUAAACUUUUGUGUGAAUCAGCGUUGGAGAUGGUUAGAUAUUGCAGCUGAAACCGUUGGAAUCAAGGAUGUUCUUGAUGAAAUGUACUACAAGGAGGACGUUGUCAUUCCAGAGGACUUAAAGGAUUUCAUCUUUAUUGAGUUCAAGGUUAAAGCUACCAAAGCAAAAACCACAAAUGUUGCUAAAGAGAUAUACUCAGCAAGAGGUGAUUUGGCACUGUUGGAUUACACCAAUCACUACCCAUAUCCCAUCAUUUCAUCAAGUGUAGGUGACGAAGUUGAAUACGAUGAGAGCCUGUUGCUGUGGCAUAUUGCCACUGAGCUAUGCUAUUGCACGACUCCUGAUGAUGGCAAUUCCAAUCGCAAUUAUUGUAAGCUUAUAUCUGAUUAUAUGUUGUAUCUUUUGGUUAUGAGGCCUAAUUUGAUGUCUGCAGUUUCUGGCAUUGGACAAAUUCGAUUUCGGGACACAUGUGAAGAAGCUAAGAAGUUCUUCAGCAGGUGGAAAUCAGAACUAAUUAUAAGAACCCCAGGCUUGGGAAUUUGCAGAAAAUUGAUCACCUGCUGCAUAGCCCAGAAUGGAUUAACUGGAAAGAGACUCAAGUUCAGCAAAUCGAAAAAGAAAUGCAUGCGAAAAGCUACUUAAUGUAAAUGCUCUUGUUAAAGCCAUUGAGGUGAAGGGAGAUAGAAGCAAAUCAAUAUUGUUCGAUGCCUGUAGGCUUGCAAAGGAUUUGAAAAAGUUUAAUGAUAAGAACAGGUGGGAGAUAAUGAGUAAAGUGUGGGUGGAACUGUUGUCCUAUGCUGCCAGUCACUGCCGAGCAAAUGCUCAUGCUCAGCAGCUCAGUAAAGGUGGUGAGCUCAUUACUUUUGUCUGGAUAGUGAUGGCUCAUUUUGGAUUGGGAGAGCAAUUCCGAAUUGAGGCGGGACAUGCAAGAGCAAAACUGAUUGUCGGAAAAUAGCAACUAAGAGUGACCAUCAUUCUAGCUGUAAAAUGAAAGAGUCCUCCAACUUGGACGUACUCCUUGACUUAGGUGAGAUUUGUGCGUUGCAAAAGACUUCCCUUAUCCCUUUUUUUCUUUUGAGUUUCAAUUUCAGAGCCACAAUUCACACUAGUGCUUUUUAUAAGAUGUGCUGAUUUAUCUUAUGUUUCCUGUGGCUUUGGUAUCAAGUGAGCAUUAUGUGAAGUUUUUUCAUAUGUCAUUCACACACAUUAGGAUGUGUGUUCUAAUAUGUUGCCUGUGCUUUUCUUUCUCUGUUUGAAAUACGAAAAUACUUUUAUGACAAAAACAUGAAAAGCUGGAUUACCAAUAUUUCAUGGGGAGAAGGAAUUGCUGACUGAAUCUCAUCUCUCCAACCAAAUAACUUGUGAAAGGCAUAACAGGUGUAAGUAGUACAGUAGUAUCCGUCUUGUGAAACACAGUCACCUCAGUUCAUCUUCCUCAUUUGAUACUGAUACUGACAUCUUUUGUAGAACUUAAAACUUACACUUUUCCUCUUUUAGCGAAUCAACAAUCAGUUAUUCCAUUUUUCCGAACGAAUAUUCACUUCAUUUGAGCUGAUUUCAGCGCUUUUCUCAGCUCCAUGUUAGCUAAGGACGGAGGUAAAAUAGAAUUCAACUGAGGAGGUUCUCUUAUAAAACAAAGAAUAAACAAAAUGAAGUUUCUAAUUCUUAUAAUCUUAUUAUGAUUAUCAUUAUUUUGUUUUUUCGGUUUUUCGGUUUCGACCAUGGUUCAAAGUCGUGGUCGCGGUCACGGUCGCGGCCUGGAACGUUCCACAUCGGUCUCGGCAUAUCGGUCGCGGUCUCGGUGAGACGCAAAUUUUAAAAUAUUUAAUAUUCUAAAAAUUAUUAAUAAUAUAAAAAAAGUAUGCUAAACAAAAAUAAUAAAAAAUAGCAAAAGAAAUGGCCGAGUCAAUCUGUCACGGUGUAACUCGGCCAAUUUCUCGUCUUGACUCGGGAUAACUCGGAGUGACUCGGUGUGACUCGGCCGAGUCAAUCCGUCGCGGUGACGUCUCGGCCGAUUUCUCGGCGAGUCAAAUAUCUCGGUAUCGUUUCGUCACGGUAUCGUAUCGGUAGGGACCGAGACGGUGACGACUCGGCCGAGUCGUCUCGGUCUCGGCCGAGACUUCGAACCAUGGUUUCGACCCUUUCUUUAGUGAGUGCAGACUGCAGACCAUAAUACACGUCAAGGCAACUGCAAUGCUAGUGGUAAAAAGUAAGAUAAUGUUAUUUUUCCAGGCCAAACCAUUUUUUUUAACCUCCCACCCUUCCCACUCCCAAUUGUUGAGUCCAAAAUUUGAACCCUCAACCAAAUAGCGGGGUAAGUCCCUGACUACUUGGCCAACUUAGAUUCUUCUGUCUGAGAAAACAAGUUUCAUCGGCUAAAAGACUCGCAUCUGAAAAGUGUAACAUGUUGUUUUCAUAGGUAUCACGAACUAUGUCUUCUGGAAUUGUGCAGAUGUCAAAAUGUCAAUUCUUUUGGGCUGAAGAAACAAAUGACCAUUUCUUGUCUUCCAGCAUCAUGAUUUACACAUUUGCGAUUUUUUCCCUCUUCUAGUAGUGCAGGAUCUAGUUUGACAUUGACUGAUGGCGAUUGUACUAUGAUGCAUUGACAGCAAAGUGGGGAGGUGGUGCGUGUCAUUUCCAGCAGAAUUUGCUGGGAUGCUAUUAAAUGUGCAUAUAAGACCAGGCGAAUAUCAACCUUCCUUUUACUAUGUUAGGCUGCCUGAUUUAUGCUAUCUGUUCAUUUACCAUUGACCAAGCGCGGCUCCAUGGUAGACGAACGGUUUAUUUUCAUCAAUGGUGUGCCAUUGUCAUGUUCUCAAUUUGCUCCAUCAUAGAGAAAUUGUGAUCUGGUGGCCUUCACCUCCUCUUAGUACAUUCAAGCCAACUGUUGAUGGUUUGGCGAAAUUAAUAGGUAUAGCAGUAAUGGUCCUCCCCAGGUUGUACCGCACUGGCGUUAUAAGUUCUAUGCAGAAGCUCUUAUUAAGGAGGAGGUUGAGACUAGAUUUUCCAAGAAGGCAUAUGAAUUUUCAUGGUUUAUGGAUUGAAAUGCUUGCUGGUGAGAUUAAUCAAAGAAUUAGUAGAGGGGAAGGAAAAUCCAACUUCUCAUAUGUAUCCAAAUAGUGCUGGCGCUGCAUCAGUAGAAAGGAGAUGCAAGCAUAAUCGUAGUAGCAGACUUGUAAACUAGAUAGGUUGCAUGUUUUUCUAGAUGGAAGCAAGGCACCUUAUAUCUUGUACUUCUCUUGUAAGCUACUUAGUCACUAGUGCAUUUACCUUCAAAGGAAAAAAACAUCGGAAAAAAUAUUAAUACAAAAGAAUAAUUAUUAGGAAAGACAUACUUGGUACAAGCAUAUACGCAAUAGGGGUUAGGAAUCAAUUAAAUUGAUCAAAGUUUACUGAAAAUGAGGGAGUGAAAAAGAACGAGAAUUAAUUACUAGCAGAAAAAAAAAAGGGCAAAAAACCAAGAAAAACAAACAUUGCCGCAAGCGAGGGCUUCCAUUGACAUCUCUUGUACAUUUCCGAUUCAGCAAACUUAUCAAAUCGGGAACUGAACUGUAUUUUGUUUUAAGUUUUAACUGAAGGCUGAAUCAGUUAAAUCUCGGGCUAAGCUCUACAACCUCAGGAAGCAUGUCUAAGCCCAAUUCCAGAAUUAGUUUCUUGUUAGAUUAUUUAUGUAUGUCGAGCACAUGUAGUUUGCAAUAGACUUGGAGUUUUUCUCAUAGUUAUUAAACCCAAUUUGAUCUGGUGGUUCGACUCGUCAAGCCUGUGAACUGGUCAUUGAACCAUGCCAAAUUUUUUGAUUCAAACAUUCCUACAAGUGAACCGUUGACUUUUUAACGGAUCGACGGUUUAAUCGGUCAAUCCGAUGAACCAUUCGGUUUUAUAGGGAACCCAGUUUACAUGUUAAAAAUUUUUAGAUGUGAAGAUUUGAACCCAAACUUCUUGUAUAUAUGCAAAUGCAAUUACCACUACAGCAACAACUCAUUUGUUGAUUGUUUAGUCUUUUUUAUAUUAUCUAUUAGACUUUUAUCCUUAUUUUAUUUUUUAAAAAUAAAAUUUAUUUGGAAUCUUUUAAUAAAUUUUAUUACUCCCCAAACUCUAUAAAUUAUGAAACGAAUAUAAAACAUAACAUAUCACACAAUUCAUUCUAAUAUCGUUUAAUAACUAUCAUAAUAAGUUUUUACACACAAUUCAUGUCUAAUAAUCUUUUGCACCUAAAAUUCAUAAAUAAACCCGAUAAUUACACUUAAAUAAAAUUUUAUACUUGAACUUUGAUAGAUUACUAAUUGAAUUUAGGUUUUAUUAAUUUUUAUAAGAAUUAAUGAUUCUAUAAUAAAUUAGGCAAAUUCAGCAUUUACUAUGACAUAAUUUAUUAUAGUUUUAACUAUAUCAAAAAUUAUGAAAUAUAAUAUUUAAAUAUAUUUAGUGACUCACCGGUUGAACCACUCACUCACUGGUUGAACCAGUAACUCAUUCACUCACCUCUUUCGUCAGCUCCCUUUCGGAUCGGGUUUAAUAACUAUAGUUUUUCUAGUCGAACUUUGGGAAGAAAACUGAAAAUUGAGUGGCCAAGCUGAUUUAACUUGAGACAUUACUUCAUGGUGUCAGUAAAUUAGAGCUGUAGGCUUUGCCAUUGUGUUCCCUUCUCACAAGUAGGAUUAAUCAAAUCAAGCUUCUGGGGUCAAUACCAUGAUUUGGAGCAAGGGAACAUGCACAGCGAGGGAUAAUGUCCAGAAGUUUCUUCAGCUGUUUGUUAGAACACGCGUGUCAUUUGUGGACUCUCAGCAACUUUACCUCCAACAAACAGGACAACAUUAGAGAUUGCAGAAACAACUCAAUUGGGUGAGAGCCACGUCAAGGGAUCGAGUCCCCGGAUAAAUUUGGUCGGUGACGUUGGGCAGCCUCUCUCGGCCCACAGUUGGGAUUAGUUGGGUCGUACGGUAUUACCAGUCUAUGGGCUCAGAUACCCAACUGUGUCGAAAAAAAAAAGAAAAAAAAAAGAAAAAAGAAGGAUGCACCAAAUAACAGGACAACAUUAGCUUUAACAACGAAUGCAAAAGCUACAGUUGCAAUAAAAGCUAUAAUCUUCAGUGUCCAUCCAAUCAUCCUUUACUCCGACCGUAUGCAAAGAUAGGUUAGUCCAACCCAUCCGUUGGCAUUUCCUAUGACACAUCGUAAAUUAGAUCCUCUAUAAUUUUAUAACUUUUCUUGAAGUUAGCUUGGUCUUGUCAGAUGUAACUGCAAAACUUGAUUGUUGUACCCAAACAUACAAUAAAACCAGAAAAUAAGUGUAAUUCUUGUUAAAACUCAGAAUGAGAUCUUAAAGUCUAAUAAAAACUAGUAAGUUAUUAACCAUUUGAGAUAUAGACCCUAAUCCAAGGAUGUUAACCAACCUAAAUGUGUUGUUUUAUGGUGUGUGAACUGAUAGCUGCAUCCAAAAAUGGCUACAGUCUUCCAUUUUGCCUACCUGAUCUGCUGAUUACCACCUAAUUUCUUACAUCUUUUUAAUUUUCGAGUAAUUUUGCCACUGCUUAAGUUGUAUUAGUAAGAUUUGAAUACGACAUGAUUUUUUUUCAUAUGUUCAUCAGAACAUUUUAGAUAUAAUUAAACUAUGUUAUGCAAUUAACUUGGAAUGAAGUUACAAAUUUCUUGUUAUCAAUUUUAUAUGCCAGAUGUUGAGGAUUUAACUAUUAUUAGCUUCUUUGCUCCUUAGUGGUAUUCUAACUGAAUUUUAGCUUUAUAAUUUUUGAGCAAGUACUAAUAUAAAAUUCAGUUUAAUAACAAUGAAUGCAUAAAUGCAGUGAGACAAUAGAGCAAUCCAUAUCAUAUGGCCAUUUGUAGGCAGAUAGAUCAUUGAUAGUACUAAUCUACUGGCUAAUUGCAUGAGCAUUAUAACUAACACUCUAAGGUGGAAAAUGAACCUAUAAAUUUUUUUUACCGUGUAUAUUGCUGCUGCACAAAACAAGAAUAAUAUUAACAAAACAGCCUCCAUUGAUCUCACAUAGAUAAGCAGACAUAGACUAAUAUCUCCAAAAUACCUAUCUUGUACAGACAUCCGUCACUAAGAGAAUCAUCAGACUUCACUCUUAUUAUGUUUUUGUCUAAAUUUAACAUCCCAAAUUUAUUUUCAUUAAAAAUUUCCUCUCUUAUAUGGUUAAAUGGGACAUAAAAUCGUCACAAAAAAAAAAGAAAUAAUUCUUUUCUAUCUUAAAAUGGGACCUAAAAUUGUUAUAACAAAAAAAAUUAAUUCUUUUGAAUUUAUCUAUUAAAAUUUGAGGUAUCCAAAUGAAUAACACCAAAGAUUGACAAUAUGUAUAAUCGUCAUUAGAAAAUUAAAAAAUAUAUAUCCAAUUCAAAUAGAAAAUUUUGAACUUUACUGAAUCAUCAUCAUCAUCAAGUAACAUAACACAAUAUACCAAAAAAAAAAAAGGGAGAAAAAUCCAAAACAGAAUAUGAAAAAAAAAGAAAAAACAACAAAUCAAUAAAAAAUUAAAAAUAAAUGGAAAUUAAAGUAAAAAAUGUAAAUAUGGACAAUGAGCUCAUGCAAAGGUGAUCGGACGUUAGCAAUUGUGAAGACGUCUGAAAAGUACACCUCGGAUGGUACAUCCGGACUAUACCUUAAAAAAGAUAAAAAGAAAACAUAUUAUGUAUAAAAAGUCUACAAUUCCAACUAUCAAUUACCUGAUUUCUAGUUUCACCUAAAGAUUUCAUGGAAUCACUGUCCAAUAAGGUUUGUAAUUUUGCAUGUAUGCAUCAUUAAUUCCAAUAGUCGAAAUAACCAGGGCAUCUGGUAUACAUUAAAGUUUAUGUUCACUAUGUGUAUCUAAAGUUAAUGCCUUGGGUUUGGUUAAACUUUCUUUGAUUGUUAGUGUUUAUUAUUUGGCUAUUUGAUGCGAUUAUUUUGAGCAAGUUAUUUGGCACUUUAGCUCUUUAAAUCAUGAUUAACUUGGUACCAUUAAUUGUGAUUGCUAAAUGUGUUGUUUCUUCAAUGAAAAUUGAGAUUUAACACUAGUUCAAAAAGUGCUAAACCUAUGGUGUACACUCACGAGAGUAGAAGUGUGUCUAUGUGGCUUUAGUGAUUCAUUUCAUGUAAUUUCAUAGAAGAAAUGAACUUGUAGCUAAUUUAAUAACCACGAGAGUAGGUAUAGAUUAGUUAUAAGUAUAGUUGAUUCAUUACGAGAAUAGGUUUCACAUGCAUAAGAAAAUUACGCCAUAACUAGCUAAGAUAGUAGUAAUCAAUGAUCCAAAAAUAGCAUUUGCAUGAAUGGUUAGGAAUACCAUAAUCUAAGGAGCUUUCAUUUGUUUUUAUCUUGCAUAAGUUUAACAUAGUUUUAUCUCUUUUAAUUCAUUGAUCGUCUAAAUAAUAGAGAAGUUUUAGCAGUGCCGGUAUUUGUCCAAUCUUUCUCAUGGGAUUGACCCGAUAUUUGUCAUAAACUACUAAUUUGACCUAUAUACUUGCAGUCAAAAAGGGUAUAUUUCGGAAUUAAACUUGUACUUAUAUCAAAAGCCCAUCAGUAGCUCAAAGAAACUAUAUUUUGAAAACGAUACGAUGAAAAUCACUUCAAAUUAUAAACAUCACUUGACUCUAUUAAUUUGAUCAGAACUCACCAAAAAUGAGUGUGUGUGUCCAAUUUGACCUGUAUUUCAUUUAAAAAUAUACAUAAAAACAAGUUAGUUGAACACAAACCGAAUGAGAUCUGGAAGUCUAAUACAAAUUGGUAAGUUGCUAACCAUUUGAGGUAUAGACCCUAAUCCAAGGAUUUAAUCAGCCAAAAUAUCUUAUUCUAGGUUCUGUGAACUGGUAGUUGCAUUUAAAUUGGCUACAAUCUCCCAUCUCACCUACCUAAUCUACUGAUUACCAUCUAAUCCCUUACUCUUUUUUUUUAAAUUUUCAAUUAAUUUUGCUAAUGCUUAAGUGGUAUUAAUAAGAUAUGAAAGCGACAUGGAUUUUUUCAUAUGUUUGUCAAAACUUUUUAGAUAUAACUAAACUAUGUUAUGUAGUUAACAUGGAACGACCUUACUAUUUCAUAUUAUCAAUUUUACCUACCAGAUGUUGUGGUCUUAACUAUUAUUAGUUUCUUUGCACCUUAGUGGUUUUCUAACCAAAUUUUAUGUUUAGAAUUUUUGAGCACGUACUAACGUAAAAUUCAGCUCCACAACAACAAAUGCAUUAAUGCUAUGAGAUAAUAGAGAAAUCCAUAUCAAAAUGCUCAAUUGAAAAAAAAAAAGUGAAAGAAAAAAGGAACGAAUAUGUCAGAUGUGCUGUAAUUUCAUUAUUGGGUUGUGUAAAAACAUUUUCAUUUUGACAAUUGAACAUACAUAUAGACUUUGUAAUACCUUACUCUUGAAAUUCUUGUCUCUUCGUUUGAAGGUGAAAAGAAAUUACGGCAUAGUUAUUUCCAUAAGUCGUAGAAAACAAUCAAUAAAGGAAAAAGAAUAAGGUUUUGAUGGGGAAAAUUCAGAAAUUGGAACGGAACAAUGGGCUAUAUUUUUGUUAAGAACUGAAAAUCUUUUUCUUCAUUAUCCGUUCCUUCUUCAACUUACAUUCAGCUGUAAUGGCUGAAUUUAAAGUGGAAGCGAUGCAUCUACUUCAACAAUGUUGGAAACAGUUAUUGUCCUUAGCUACCUCAACUCCACACCAUUUAUACAUAAUGUGCUUGCUGUGCAUUCCAGGCUGGGAUUUGGACGCAUUCCAAUGUUGGAUUGUGGUGGGGUUUAAUACCAAAUCAAUGAAUUAAAUCCUUUAUAUAAAGGAGCUAAACAAACAAUUUUAUUACACUCAAAAUAUAUAUAAUAACAACAGACAAAAUACAUUUAUAUUAGACACUAAUAAUUGAGCCUCACUGUUGAGAUAUCUGCUCAAACACUCACUCCACAAUUGAACUCGUUCAUUUCCUAUCUUUCACUUGAGCUUUGGUGCCCUUCAACUGAGGAAAUGGCAUUUAUUUAUACUAGUAAGGAUCCUACAAGCGGCUGUAAUUUUCUCUUCUCAUUCAAUGCCCAAUUGCCAGAAAAUCUGGUGAACUUUGCAAGUAAAUCUGGUUCAAGAUACAAGCACGAACCAAAUUGAUCAGCCGCCCACGUUCAGCUUCAAGAUGGACUUUGGCAAUUUGUCUAUUGCCAAUAAAUGAGUAAAACAAACACUCCAAAGCCAUAAAA
Molecule: long non-coding RNA, 77181 nt
Filed under: Coffea arabica (coffee)
Lineage: Eukaryota; Viridiplantae; Streptophyta; Magnoliopsida; Gentianales; Rubiaceae
Description: long non-coding RNA (CARA_LNC002334)
Source: RNAcentral